RNAcentral lists this long non-coding RNA (73363 nucleotides) under Prunus persica (peach). RNAcentral describes it as "long non-coding RNA (PPER_LNC007382)". The record is from RNAcentral. Lineage: Eukaryota; Viridiplantae; Streptophyta; Magnoliopsida; Rosales; Rosaceae.
UGGGUAGGGAUGGUAUGAGAUAAGGUGCAUGACAAAUAAAAUAAUCAAGCGAAUGGGCGGAAAGAAGGGUCGAAUGAACUUACUUUUUAUUGGACCAUAAAAGUUGGCUGACUUUUUUGUAGCUUCCGAUUGGUCCGCCGCACAUGCAAAUUCCCUAAUCAAACGCCACAUUCUUUCUUGCACCCACCAAUUCUUUUUUUUUUUUUUUUUUUUUUUUUUGUGGUGGAAAAUCCAGCCUUUAUAAUUUCAAUAUUUUAUAAGGACAAUCCAAGCUUUGAUCUCCCUCCACUCACUUAAAUGACGAAAACAAUCUACAUAAACAUUUGUGUACAAUUUGGUCUUAAUUUGGAAGUAGAGAAAUAUCUAAUUAAAAUACCAAAAGUAGUUAAUGAUGAUCAUAAUUAACAAAGGUUGUUAAUUUAUAUUAUAAUAUUUUAGAUUAGUAGCAAUUCAUUUGAUCUAAAACUCGUGAAGAAUAUUGUAAAAACUUAUGAGUGUAGUGGUUUGGAAUAAUUAUUUUUUUAGAAAAAGUACUGAUUUCGAGUCCAAACAUCUCUGUAGUGUGUGUUAAUUUAAUAUAAAAUUUGAGUUAAUGAUUUCUUCUGACAUGGAAAGAAAAACACCACAAAAUCAAAACAAAGGUUAUUAUUUUUGGCGAGGGUUAUUUUUAUAAAAAAAAAAUUAUCCCCUAGAGGAAAAAAUAAAAAUAAAAACAAUAUAACGCAAUAAAAGAAUAAUAAAUGGUAUGUAAUACCACACCGUAUCUAAUGGUGGGGAGCGAAAUUGCGUCCUCCCCUCAGCUCUGUCCCUUCCAAUUUUCCCUCACUUUCCUACCCCAGCAAAAUUUUCCCGGAAAAUAUGACAGACAAAAAACCCAUCACAAACCCAAAAACCCAUGCUAGAAAUUCCCCAUACACUUCACUUUCUCACUAACCAAACACUCCAAAUCCCCAGACAACACGCACCACCAUCUUCCUCAAAACCCAAGAAAACCCACCCAUCCAUUUCUUCGCUUUUCCACCCUCCCAAAAUAUCUGUACGGACACCAUGACCUGAUAGAAAUCCAAUAGUGUUUUGUAAAUACAGUGAAAUUUAGGAGAACAUAUGGGGGCGUCGCUCUCGAACCUGACGGAGGGGACGAACGGGUUGGGUCAUGGACCGGGUCUUGGAGACAUACCCGAGAGCUGCGUGGCCUGCGUGUUCAUGUACCUGACUCCGCCUGAGAUUUGCAACCUUGCUAGGCUCAACAGGGCUUUUCGUGGUGCGGCGUCGUCUGAUUCUGUUUGGGAAUCCAAGUUGCCCCCAAAUUACCAUGAUCUACUCGAUUUGUUGCCUCCUCAGAUGUACCAGAACCUCUCUAAGAAGGACAUCUUUGCUUUGCUAUCUCGCCCUAUACCCUUCGACGAUGGCAAUAAGGUGAGUUUCUUGGUGUGUAAUUGGGAAUUAGGGUUUUGGGUUGGUUUUCUUGGUGUAAUUUUGCAAUUUAGGGUUUUGGGUUUGGUAUAAUAUGUCUAAACUUGUUCAAUUUUUUAUGCGUUUGGUGGGUUUUGCAGCUGGUAUGGAUAGACAGGGUCACGGGAAGGGUUUGCACUUCGGUUUCCGCGAAGGCCAUGGCCAUCACGGGGAUUGAAGAUCGCCGAUACUGGAACUGGAUUCCCACGGAAGAAUCUAGGUUAGCUAUAAAAGAUCUUACUUUCCAUACUAGUGUGUUCUUUUGAUAUGUAUGGUUUGUUCCCUUUCUUUGAAAAUUUUGAUUCAGCUUAGUAUUCAGUAAAGUUUCUUUCUUUUUUGUUUUUCUUAAAGGUUUUUUUGGCGGUGUGAAAUUUUUAGUGAUAAUUAAGUAGUUAUAUUAAGCAAAUGAGAGGAGGAAUCAGAAACUCUUAAUGAACUAUAUUCUUGCUUGAAAGUUUUUUAGAUCCAUUGUUUAUUACUACACUAUUUUGUUGUCUUUUAGGUUCUUUUUCCUACUCUAAUAAUUCCUUAUGGAAGCUGUUCUGUUAUAAUUACAUCGUUCAUGGCAUAUGUCAGUUGGAAAACAAAGGACUAACUAUUCUAUCUCAUUGCAGUUCUGUAGGUUGGGAGGGUAGUUUAAUAUCACAUUCUUCUAAUGACUACAUGUGGGGUUGAAGAUGUCCUUUUAUUUGGAAUUCUCUAAAUUGAACGAAUUUAUACUUACAAUCCACAUCUUGUAUUUGCUUUAAAAAGUUGCAUACAAAGUCAGAUAAGUAAGUGAUGCCUCUUAUUAUAGUUACUCUUGACAGAGUUUAUGUAAAUCAGGAUCUUCAAGAAAUCAAGGUUAAUCAUGCCAGUAGAAUGUUCCACUUUCUCAAGUUCCCUAUCUUAUCUUUGGAUUCUCUUCAUCCAAAUGUAUCUAGUAAAAUUAUAAACCAUGGUGUUUAGAAAGAGUCUGUGUACUAUAUAAUUUUUUUUUUCUUGGAAUCAAUAGAAAGGCAAAUCUAAUUUAGCCUAUGUUCAACUGAAAAGGGAUAUAUAUAUAUAUAUAUUUUCGUUGUAGAUUACACUGAAUAGUUAUUGAGUUUUUUCUUGCGUUGGGGUUUAUGUCAUCCUAGAUUUUUCUUGUUGCGGAUUCUGAAUUGCCAGUCACUCAUUCGUCCGUAGACAUUACUCAAGACAGUUUCUGAUUUUCAACGCUACUACUCAACAAGAGAGAUUUGCUUAUGCUUUUCCGGGAUUGGCGCUACCGCCUUUGAUCUCAUUAUUUUGUAAUUGAUUUCAUCAAUUUACGUUCAUGAGAUCCUCAUUUGGGUCAGUUAUCAUAUUGAACCAUUGUUGCCAAGUUAUGCCAGCUUGGUGUUAAUUCAUUAUUUUUCCUUCACUUUUGCUUAGUAUGAUGAUGCAUUAUAUCUUUCAAAUCUUGAUCAUCUGCGUGUUGCUGUUUGUUUGCAGGUUUCAUGUGGUGGCUUAUUUACAGCAAAUAUGGUGGUUCGAAGUGGAUGGGGUGGUGAAGUUCCCUUUUCCUGCUGAUAUCUAUACUCUUUCUUUCAGGCUUCACAUUGGAAGAUUUUCAAAAAGAUUGGGACGGCGUGUUUGCAAUUUUGAGCACACCCAUGGUUGGGAUAUAAAGCCAGUACGAUUUGAGUUAUCAACUUCAGAUGGACAGCAAGCAUCAUACGAAUGCUGCUUGGAUCAAAUCGAACACGAUGAUGCAUAUGGAAAUCAUAAGCGCGGGUGCUGGGUUGACUACAAGGUUGGUGAAUUUACCGUCACCGAUUCAGAUCCUGUAACUGAAGUUAGAUUUUCCAUGAAGCAGAUCGAUUGCACUCAUUCCAAAGGUGGGCUAUGUGUGGAUUCUGUUUUUAUUGUCCCCAGUGACUUGAAAGGGCGGAAAAGGAUAGGAGUUUUGAAGUAGCCAUAUGCUGAACAGGGAAGUUUAUUCACAUCAGUGAUCCCACAAGAAUGAAGCUGGGAUUUAUGAUACAGCUUAUACUUCUAAAGGCAUAAGAUGUUUUAGAGGAUGUCAUCUUAUUUGGUUUUUGUGGUAGGUGUGUGUCCUCUAUGGUUGUGUAACUUCACUUUGAUGUAUUUGAUCCAGUUUUGUUCCAUUUUAUACCUCUUCAGAUUAGAUUAAGUGAAUAUACUUUGACAUUACCUUGUUUGUAUCAGUUGCUCACUGUAAAGCAUUUUGUAACUUAGAUGUGAUGUCAAUCAACACUGUUUCUUCAUUGGUUACAUAGAUCAUGCUUAGAUUUUUGGAAAUCUUGGAUGGUCACAGGACAUGGCCUCUCUCUCUCUCACUCUCUGGUUAAUGAAUGUUUGUGUUAUUGUCUGAGGUCAGUUUUUUAAGUAAAAGUGAAUUGAUCCUUUGAGAAUUUGUAAUUUCGAUGGAAAGACAGCUUAUCCCAUGGUGUCUCCGUCUCCCGACAGAUUUUGUGUGACUCUGUAUUUGAUUUCGUAUGAGAUGUCUCUUAGCUUGUGAAAUACGGGAUCUCUCUGUACUGGUCCUUGAAUAAUUUUUAUUCAUGUUGUCAGUGGGCUAGCCCAGAAUCUUACCUCUUAAUCCCGCGUUUUCUCCUCUCCUCUUUUUGUUUUAUAAUGAUGGUGAUUUGAGGACCAGCCCCUUGGUCCCAUUUUUCAAUUUGGACUGAAUCCUGUGUCUUUCUACUGUUUCAAUCUAAGUCUAAAGUUACUUUUCAAACUAAAUGAAUUGGAAUUGGAAAAACUCUUAAACAGAAGUUAGAGCAAAACAGAGAAGCGUUCACAGUUUCACCUAUGGGACUUUAAAUGAGGGACAGGUGAGCAUUUCUAUCAAGAUUGUUUCUUUUAAUUUUCUCAACCUCUUCUGUUCUGGCAAACUGAAAUUCAUACCCUCUCUCUCUCUCUGUGGAAUUUGUAAUUAUUUUUGCAAUUUUGUACAGCAUAUGUGAGGCCAAUUGUAGUUUCUAGGCUGGGUUGGGCUGCUUGCAGUCUACAAUUAAAAUUAUUAGUAUAUAUUCAUUAUUUGAUUGGGUUGAUUGGUGAAUGAGUUCUGAAGGGUUGGUGAAUUAUCAUUUUGAUUUACAUAAUUCUACAAUUUUUGUACUGUCUCCCAGUCUCUCUCCUCUAAAUAACAUUUAGCUUAUUAAUUUCUCUCUGCUAAAACCUAAAAAUUACUUCUCAAAAUAUGUAUUUUUGGGUUUACUUUUCUUGCAAAUCGCCUCCCAUUUUGUCUCCUUCAUUGUAAUUCCUGCAGAUGCAGAUAUAAACGUUUGGAUGAUCUAUCUCUGUCCGAAUAUAUUUAGUCAUCGGAUGAGCAGUAAACCACCUGGUUAUCUGUAAUUUACUAUGCCAUUAAACUGCCACACCCUGAUUAAGAGUAUUUCUCUCAAAUCAUUUGCCUUCCUUGGUUUUGUAUAAAGAUACAAAUCAAGGCUAAUCAGCACUUAAUAAAUACAAGAUUAAGUCCACUAAUCAGGUACUGGGUUUUCUUCUUGAAGUCACUUGAAUUUUCUAUCUCUGGUGGUCCACAUUAAAAAAAAAGUUGCAUACUUUUCUUCCAGCUUGCAUUAAAACACUGCAGUAUUAAUGUUAACAAAAAAAAAGCUGUGCAUGGCCUGUAAAAUAUAGAGUAGUAAAUUGAACUUUGGCAUCUUGCUAGCUAGACCCCUGUUCCUCAUCCGGCGCUGCUUAUGGUGUCCUUGAGCAGCCAUAUCAGAUGAACUAAUUCUUAUGGACCAAAACAUAGACUUGUUCAGCAAAUGGAUUUACAAAACUAAAGAGAAGAUCUAAUUAUAGAAAAGAAAAGGUAAAAAGUCACUUUCAGUCCCUAUAGUUUAACGAAAUUUCUACUUCAGGUCCUGCGGUUUUAAUUCUGGCAAUUUGACCUAUGUAGUUUGAUUUUAUUGCAAUUUAAGGACUCCAAUUUCUUGACGGAAUAAACUCGUGUCUCUUACGUGGAGGGGUAUUUUGGAUAGAGAUUUAGGUAUGUUCUUGAAUUGCAAUAGAAUCAAACUACAUGGGUUAAAUUGACAAAAUUAAAACUAUAGAGACUAAAACAGAAAAAUCGGCAAACUACUGGGACCAAAAUAAAAUUAGCAAGCUCAAUUUGGACCACUAAUAUUUUCUAAGUUGUUGUUCUAUAUAUGAAAACCUAGAAAAGACUUUAAUUAUGGGCAGCCGUUUAGCUAGCUACAUGUCUGCCAAGCCAAUAUAUACAUGGUAAAGAAGGACCACUACACCAGUUUCAAAUGGUCAUUUAACCAAAGUAGUAACCUUCAUCAUCUGCCUUCCUCUUUCCGUAUUGGGUUACAUGUGCCAUGUGUUGCAACAGUACAUUGCUCUGAACAAACUUCUAUUAUGGUGAUCAAGUUCUUAACUUGGUUAAUGAGAGAUUCUGUAUGUGAAUGCGUCUAAAGUUUGAUUUGGAGCUUUAUACCAGAUUGGUUGUCACUUGCGAACUUGAUGCUGCACCAAAAUACACUUAUUUACUCUCUUUUUUAAGGAAAAAAUUAAAUAAAAAAACUUGAUCCAGUCUUCAUAUUGUCCUUUUUAAUUAGGGUUUACUUAAACUUGAUCCAGUCUUUAUACUUUAGACUAGCUGGUCUUAACAUGAAAUUAGUGGUUGAACUUAAUGUCUUUACUUAAACAGAUUAGAAGUCUAAUAACAUGGUUGAAGACAGAUUAAUCUCCACAUUGCUAUGAAGUUCUCUUCAUGUUCCUAAGGCUGUAUAAAUUUAAUGCCACAACGACAAUCGGUGUGAGAUAAUCACUAGAACGAGAGGUUUCAAACUCUAAAACUUAUCUAAUUAACGUAAGCUCGGAUAUCAUGUUAGACAACUACUUCCUUCAUCUUUGAAAUAAUUAUAAAAUUAAUGAUUCAACAAAAGUAAAUCAAACUAUGUAAAGUAAAGGAUUGAUUGAAAACUAAAGGGUGAUAGAAAAUAAGUACAAGUUUUUUGUUUUUCCUGGGUGAGUAAAAGGUACACUACUGUACGAGUUAGAGGAAAAAAGCCAAAAUGAAGGCUGGUCAGUUGGACUACAGGGAUCUGCAAUGGGACCAUAUAGUUCUUAAUUGCUUCCAAGAUAUAAUCAAUCUAUUUGCAGAGAUGAAAAAAGGUCUUCCCCUACGUAAGCAACAAAGAGUGACUCUUUUUUCUCAAGAAAAUGAAACCGAAGAAAAACUGUUGUUCCAUUGGAAUUGGAUAAAAUGGUGUUUGAGUGAAAAUUGUUAGUGAUGAGCCAAUAAAUAUUCCUUGUUUAUGUUCCAAUGUAGAAGACAAGCUCAUGAACAAGCUCCUGAAAAAGAGAGAACUUUCAUUUCAGGGGCAUAGUGAAAAUGUCAAUCCAAACAGAAGAAUUUAAUGCACUCUUGAGAAAGGGCUAGGGUUCGAAUCUUGCACGAGAAAAAACAAUUUAGAUUUAUCAUAGUGUAGUUUUAGCUGAUUAUGUGUACCUAGAAAAUUAAACACAAGAAACACCAACUUUUUUCUUAACUUUCUAGCAUGAUGUAAGAUAUUUUAUAUAAUGAGACCGUCCGUUCUUUGUGAGAGAGUUGGGAAAAAACAGAAGACAUGUGUAACAUAUACUAGUAUUUUUUUUCUCUUUAAACCCUAAACCAUAAGCUCUAAACCCUGAAUAUAAGAGUGGAUCAUGGAUUAGCCAAAAAAGAUUAAUUUUCGGGUUUAGUUUAAAUGCAAUAAGAUUUUUCGAGAAAUUUGAAUUUUUAUUUUUGUAAAGGACCUUUAUUCCUACCAAGAAAAGCCAGUGGUGUGGUGGUCAAACCAUGCACAUCUCACAAGUCACCAGAUAAAUGAGUUGCAAUUUUUUUAGUUUGCACUCUCCCAUCCCAUGUGUGUAAAAAGCUUUCAAAAACUCAAAAUUCAUAUGAAGCUCUUGGGGUUGAAUAUGAGGUGUUAUUGUCACAAGUGCAGAAAAAAUAACCUUUAAUUAAUGCACAAGAGAAGAAGAAGAAUUGAUAUGAAGGAGAGGGUUUGGGAGGACCGCUGCCUCAUCCAUCUCUUUCAUCAAUUUGGCUUCAAUGCAUAUGCGGCAAUGCCAUUGUCUUACCGUUAUCUCUCUUUCACGUUUUUUUUUGGGUUUUUGGAGAAAAAGACAACCUUCACAUGAAACCAGCACACACUCUUAGAAUAGGCCUGCCGCGGCCCCCCCUAAAAAUUCAAUUAAAAUCCAACAAUGCCAACCCAAAUCCAACAUCCACACACCAGCAUAUAUGAAUGAAUGAAUAUUUAAGAGAGAGAGGAGGGUUUUGCAGCUUUUUAUUGGUCUGCUGCUAUGUUGCAGCUUAAUUAAGGUGGGGGGCUGAGAGAGAGAGAGAAAGAGAGAGAGAGAGAGGGUGAAAUACUAGGGUGAGCCCAAAACUUCUUUUCAUCUUCUACCUUUAUUUGUCCGUUUAUUGAUGCAGAGGAGGAGGUGGCAGGGUGCUGGAGUGUACAUGUAUGUACUCAUUUUGUGCCACUCUUCAGGGGGCCACACGCGUCUCUUCCUUUGUUGCAUGCUGGCGAGGACCUCACCUAUACUUGAAUCUUGUCGUAUGAACAGUGUUUACAUAUACUGUACGUAUAGACGCACAUGCAAUUUGUGUCUCUAGGUUGAGAUGUUAUGUUAUUCAGUGUUUAAUAUCACAGUCCUAUUUAGGGAGAAAAAUUUACACAUUUCAAAGUAAUGAGAUCAUUGGGAUGGUCAUCGAGUGUUGUAGAUAUAAUUGUCUCAUUGUUUCGUUAUUUUUAUCAUUAAAUUCAUUGAUUAGAUAAAAUCUUAUUACAACAAAUAACUUUAAUCCAUAAUUUAAAAAUAAUGAUUAACAUAUUGGAUAUAUGCAACAUGGUUACUCUUUUCAUUCAACAACGCAACGAAAUCACUUCUAUAAUAGUUGAAUCUAAUUAGGAUUUUCUCUAACAAUACCGAGAUUUAUUAAAAUUACUAGACAAAAUGGUCAUUGACAUUAGAAAAAAUUAUGUGAAGUUGUUCCUGUCACGUGAAAAUGCUAAGUAGAAAAAUAAUUUAGUUAAGAAAUUUUAUUUGGACUAUUCAAUCACGGGCCAUAAACAUCCACAACAUAAGUUUUUCUCNNNNNNNNNNNNNNNNNNNNNNNNNNNNNNNNNNNNNNNNNNNNNNNNNNNNNNNNNNNNNNNNNNNNNNNNNNNNNNNNNNNNNNNNNNNNNNNNNNNNUUUCCUGUUAUGGUUUUGCUUUUUAUGUGCUCUCAGCAAGAAUCAUGAAAAAGAAGCAUGGCUACCUUCUACUUUAACUAGAAGCACCACCAUUGACUAUUAUUGUACAGCUUAAUUUUUUAUGUUCUACACUUUCCACUUCAAGCAAUUAUAUAUAUAAAUUCCUCCCUGCUUUCUUGGAGAAGUCACACUUCAGUCAUUUUGAGGUCAAACUACACAAAAUAUGCAAGUUCACAUAUAUAAAAACAGUGAAAUUAUAAUUUGUUGGGUUUUAAUUAAUUUUUUCAGGGAUGGAGAUGAAGCAUCAAGCAAUGAUGUCUGAGAGCUCACAAGGCUUGGUUCCUGGACUGGACAGGAACCACAGCAGUUAUGGGUGCUCUAACCAAGACAAGAAGAAGAGAUUGUCAACUGAUCAGUUAGACUCACUUGAGAGGAGCUUUCAAGAGGAGAUAAAGCUGGACCCUGAUAGGAAGAUGAAGCUUUCAAGAGAGCUUGGCCUUCAGCCUAGGCAAAUUGCUGUUUGGUUCCAAAACAGAAGAGCCAGGUGGAAGGCCAAGCAGCUUGAGCGCUUGUAUGAUGCUCUUAAACAAGAGUAUGAUGUGGUCUCCAAAGAGAAGCAAAAGCUCCAAGAAGAGGUAAUAAUGCAUUGAUUAAGUAAUUGGCAUACAUUAACUAUAAAGCUUCUUUCCUUUAUUAACUAAUUACAUGCAACCCAUGCAUUUUUUUUUUCUCUCUCUCUCUCUCUCCCCCUAGAAAAUAGAGCUGAAAACCCAUUGUGAAUUUUUAUAAAGGAAAUUCAAUAAAAAUUGUCUCACAUUUACCGACCGUAGUGAGUUGACAAGUCAACUAAAAAUGUACUCUAUUAAUUAAGUGCGCUGUAUAUGGUGAUAUAGGUCAUGAAAUUGAAGACAAUUCUGAGAGAUGAAGUUGCUAGGAAACAAGUUUCCACCGGCUACACUGAAAUCUCCGGUGAAGAGACGGUGGAGAGCACGUCGGUCGCCAUUCGGAGCUCUAACAAAGGGGGAGGGACGAGCCAACAUCAGGUGGCAGAGUGCAACUACCUCUUCAAUGUUGAGGAAUAUAACCCAGUAUCGCCACCUUUCUGGGGAGCUCUGCCUUCUUAUCCCUAAGCUAAGAGGCUGUUGUUGUUGUUGUUGAAGUUACUUAUAACUUUAAUUUUCUCAGGGUUCUGCUUUAGUUAUUAGCUUAGUUUGAGGAACUAGUACUUUACUUUCUUCUGGCUCUCUGGCUCGGUACUAAAUUAGAGAAUUGACAUUACAUUCACCCAAGUGGACCUAAUGAUCAGCAUGACAUUUAUUAACUUUGCCCACUUCUAUAUUGUUAUUGGCAAAUUCAUCAUCUUUUUCAUCACUUCCCUCAAAUCUUUUUUUUUAAAAAAUUUUUUAAAAUUUUGUUUUUGGGGCUUUUGGGUGCAUGUCUCUUCCUUUUGGGUAACAUCCAGUUCGCGUUCUACUUUUAUACAUGCUGCCUAAAAGGUGUUGGUCGGGUGCAUGGUGAAUGUUGUUGAAUCAACAGCCAAGCUUGGACAAGCCCAAGCAAGUACAGUGUUUUUUUCUUUCUUUUUUAUGAACUUGGAUCAGACCUUUUAGCGAAGGGUCUAGUAAACCAACUCUUACUUUAUCUCUCCCAACCAAAAAAAAAAAAAUUAAAGUAAAGCAAAGCAUAGAAUAAAACUUAGGAAUUUUGGUUUAUUUCGUCACAUGGAAUUUUGAUUGCAUCCGAGAUCAUAUGUUCAAUUCCCGCUCCCCUUAUUGGAUUAGUCCCACCAUAUGAACUCAAAUCUCAAAACAUUUCCCGUUGCAUAUAAAUUGCCAUCAACCUAUUAAGCUGGUGAGACUUGUCAGAAUCGGAGCCAAGAGCUUGAAAAUGGUCCUUAUUUAAAACUUCUAAAAUUUGACAAAGUUACGAAUUCCUGAAAAUGUCUUCACCCUCACUUCUUCACCAAAUGAAAAAGAACAAAUUCAAAACGGCUCCAUCUCGCUGCCUUCGAGCUCCCAUAGUGAUUCGUUGGCUUCGAGCUCUCAUAGGGACAGACAAAGAAUGCUCUUGAAUUUGGGCCUUUUUGAGUUUGGGCUAUUGUUAGAUCUAUUGCCAUGUGACGAAAUAAACCAAAUUGCGUGAAACAAAAACCAGAUUUAUCCUGACCUAAAGUAAGUUACAGGAUUUUGCAGGCAAGUUUGAGGGACAAAGGCUGGGCCAAAAAGGCCCCUAAACUGAAAAGCUCGGUUGCCCAUCCAUUACCUAUUAACCAUAGGAGAAAAACGUUGUUCUGAAUCUUAAUGCAAAAAGGAAAAAGUUGCUUAAGCUGAAGCUGAAAUAUCAAGUUAAAAUCCAACAGAAUAACUAUUUGAAACUUAGUAAUAUCGAAGUGACAGAUAUAAGAUAGAUAAAAGAAAAAUACGAAUGGACCAUCAAGCAUGGCCAAUCAAUCCUUACAAAAUCUUCAAACAAACAAACACGUCCUAUCUAUUACUCUACUUCCCAACAAGUAGGCAACAGAACAGUGGCUCAGCGCUUGCCACCGCCACCCCCAAGCUUUGGUCCCUUUGGUUGUGCACCUCCCCUGGUAACGCUACCCUUGCCUUGAGAUUUUUGGGAUUUUGUAACUUCUGCCUUCUUGGCCUUCUUUUCAUCCUUGGUUUUCUUGAUCCUCUCCUUGAUUUCACUACAGAACAUAUCCAGACAUCAAGUCAACGAUUCCAUAUCAUGAUCGUAGAAGCAAUCAUGAAAUUUAAAGCUGAAAUAACAUUAACAUAAAAGGUUGACAUAAUAGAGUGAAUCAGGGUCAAAGGUAUAGAUAAGAACACAAACCGGAGAGCAGCUUCCCUUGCAGCAUCACGAACCUCGGGCUUCUCAGUUCUCCUCUUCUGGAUAACCUCAAGUGUAGCACCCACAAUAGACCUUGAGUAAGGCUUCUUGGUGGUACGUCUCCUCUUCUUCACAGCUUCUUGAGCAAUAUCCUGAGUGUGUCAAGAUUACAUAAAUAAGUAAUACAAAUACAAAAACAGACUGCCGGCUACUUCAUAUAAAUAGAAUGGCUACUACAGGACAAGGUUGCAGUGCUGAAUUCCUUAAAAAAAAAUUAAUUGCAUUUGCAAUAUAACAAAUGUAUGAUGAAAAGAGAUUAUCAAAACCUAUCGAUUACCAAAAUGGGCUUCAAGACAUCUAAUCCAACUACUUAAGUAACCUUAAAACUAAAAGAAUAAAAAUUGGAAUAAUGGAAUCAUAUAAUUUAUACAUCAAACAAAAAUGCAAGUUCACCUUUUUGUGCUGCUUCCUGUACAUGGCUGUCCAGGUAAGCUUUGAUGGCUUCAACCUGUUGUGGAAGUACCUUUUGCAUUUUGAGUUGGCAAACAGGAAGACCUGACAGAACACACCACAGAUUAUUUACAAGAUACAAUGCCUUUCCAACAAAACAAUUUAAUCAUAUAAACUGAGAUGACGGAACUUAAAACAAAUGUUUGAUUUUACAGUUUACCUGAGAAUCAGAACGAAUAAAUCUGAUGCCCUUUCCUGGGUAAAUCUUGGCCCCGCUAAAACGACAGAGUUCGGUCCUGACAAGCCAAAAACAUUUUUUUAUAAGCAACCCACAAUACUAGUACUAUAAAUGAUCAAUUGAAACAGAUUUAUGCUAUCAAACAGAACCACAAAAGUAGCCAAGAGAGGGAAGAGGGACCCCUCAACCUGAAAACCUAAACCAUUCACAUAAUGACCUAACAAAGAAGACUUAACAUAAUGACUGUUCCACAUAGAUUCAAGCCAAGACAUCCAGAAAGUUUUACCAUUUUCCAGAGACUAGAUGCUACAAUUACCAAGUUACCCAGAUUUAAGAAAAUUGUAAAAACCAACCAGUCGAAAGGGAACUGGAUUUAGUGGUAUCCGUAACUCGUGUGAACCAUGAAAUGGCAACCAUUUCAACACGAUUACCGUAUCUUAAUAUAAACAGUAGCUAAAAAUACUACAUUUUCACAGAUUUAAUUAGUCAAAACUCAGAACUUAUUGUUGGGUGUUCAUCAAUCAUUAACAAACUCUACCCAGCUUGUUUCUACCAAUAUUGCACAUACAUUUUUAAUUAGCAAAAAUCAAUUUUCACCCAGAAAAGCAUAUACACACAAAUCAGAGCAGGGAAACAGUUUAUCGCCCAAGCACGCUAAAAUGGCAUAUUAGAAAACAGAAGCCAAAUUUAUAAAUUAAAAAAAGGAAAAGGAAAACGACUGCAUCGACAAUCGAGCAUCAUCAACAAAGAGGAUUCUUAAUCGGAAAAAUUAGAACGAUAAUGAAACCAUUUCAGCAUCAGAUCUCAACGAGACAUGUAGAGAGGGAGGGAGAGAGCGAGAGAGCGAGAGAGAGAAAGACGCAUACUUGAGAACCAUGGCUGCUGCCUCCUGCUCCUGCUGUUGUCGACUGCUGCUCUUCUUGUUGUGGCGGAAACCCUAGAAGCUGAAUGCUUAUAACGCGGGUAUGUAUAUCAGGCUUCUUAAUAAAUAACCCUUAUAUCCCAUGAAAAACCACGAAAAUGCCACUCAGAUUGGACCCGUUCUAUUUUGGUGUAUUUUCGGCCCAGGACUUUAGAUUACAUUUCCCCAGUACAAUGUUUGAGAUGGGCCACAAAAAUAUUUGGGCUUGUCACAUCAAGUAUAGUUUCCUUUACCUAAAUUCAGUAACCAUAAUUGUCUUAAAAUAGUAAGUUUGUAAUGACAUAAAAGAAAUGUCAAAGGUAUAGAAUAAUUUUAUACCUCAGUACUCAUCUCAACUCCACCCAGUUAUCUUGAAUGGAGCAUUUUUCUCACCACACUUGACACGUGUCUAUUGAUAUAAUUAUGGUUUCAUAAAUUUAAAGUAAAAAGUUAACUAUGGUUAUGUCAAUGGACACAUGUCAAGUGUUGAAAUGAUGUUAAGAGUACAUAUUGAGUUAAAGUGGUAAGCAAAAAUAUUUCCUUAUCUUGAAUCCAUGAAAGAAAAAACACCAAUUCGAACUUAGCACAACAUUUUAUAUAUUAUACUUUUUAUGUAUGUGGUACAUUACGUUAUCAUAGUUACUAAAUAAGGACUUUGUAACUCAAGUGGUUAAGAAUAUUUAACCAUGCAUCUGAGAUCCUAUGUUCGAUUCCCCCUCUAAUAUCGCUUGUAUAAAAAAAAUGAACUACUAAUUAGGUGGAGUUUUAUUUACAUAUAUGAUUUAAAUUCAACAUUUGGAACACAUAAUAUCUCAAAUAUAUCUAGUAAGAAAUCAUUAGCUUGUGACAACUAUGUAAUUUUAAAGGGUUGGCAUAGACAUGGUAAUGCCUUUGUGUUUUAGGGUGGUAUAUAACAGUCACUAUACCUAUAUAUAUAUACAUGAUGUUUGUCAAUUUGUAUAUAUUAUUAUAGAAGGUCAAUUUGUAACUAUAAUAAAUGUUACAUACAGCCAAAUAAUGCAAUAUGCUCUAGAGUUGGUUGGAAACUUGGGAUUGACUUCUAUACUAAAGAUAGGAUAUUAAAAAUCUUUUUUUUUGUCCAAUUACUAUUCAGGAUAUUUGAAAGAGAACUUGAUAUGAUCAUUAGUUUUUCAUUUUAUAUUUAUGAAAAAAGAAAAAGAAAAAAAAAAGGUAGCACAGCACAGAUGAGUGAGAUGGAUCAUUAGCUUGUUAAUAAUGAGGAGGAGGAUGAUGACACCUCACUGAACCUCAAGAAGAUGAAGAAGAAGAUAUCCAAAACCCAUUUUCAUAUUUUUCUUGGUUUUUACUUGGAAACCCCCUAACCCCACCACUCCAAGACAAAACUGUGAAAGAAGAUGACUAACAAAUACACAUAUUUCUUUGCUUCUCAGUUUCUCAGGCUCCCUUCUUGACUCAGUAACCAAGAUAACGCCUUUUUUAUAUAUAAAUAAAUAUAUUUCAAAUUUCACCAAUACCCAAAUCACAAUUUCCAAUUGGGAACCCGAAAACCCUAGAAAGAUCGGAUUUUGAAGUGGAUCUGUUGGGGAAGAAGAGGAGGAUGGGGGAUAAUCAGGACGACGAUCGGAGCCAGAGCAGCGACUACACGUCGGAGGACGAAGGCACCGAAGACUACAGGCGAGGAGGCUACCACGCUGUUCGAAUCGGCGACACUUUCAAGAGCGGACGGUAUGUCGUUCAGACGAAGCUCGGUUGGGGCCAUUUCUCCACCGUCUGGCUCGCUUGGGACACCCACCACUCUGUACUUAUCUCACCCUGUCUUCUCUUUUUUCUUUGCUGAUACUUCGUUUUUAUUGCGUUUUUUGAUAUGCUGUUGUAUCAUUGUAUGAUGAGUUUGAAAAUGUAAGAAAAGGAAUGGAAAAUUUUAAUCAAAUUUUUAAUCCACCAUAUUGGUUAAUGCAAAACAUAAAACAUCAUAUUUGGUUUCUUUAAUUUUUCACAUGUUUAGUUUUAACUUUUAAGUUACUCAAUGGAGGAUUAAUGAAAAUGUGUUGGUUUUUUUGGGUGUCUGCCAAUUGUACAAAAACCAGCGUUAUGUUGCUCUGAAAGUGCAAAAGAGUGCUGACCACUACACUGAGGCGGCAAUGGAUGAGAUAACCAUCUUGAAACAGAUUGCAGAGGGGGACACAGAUGAUAAAAAAUGUGUAGUGAAGCUUCUGGACCAUUUUAAGCAUUCGGGUCCGAAUGGACAACAUGUUUGUAUGGUUUUUGAGUACUUGGGUGAUAAUCUGUUGACACUUAUUAAGUAUAGUGAUUACCGCGGGGUACCACUCCAUAUGGUUAAGGAGAUUUGUUAUCAUGUUUUGGUUGGAUUGGAUUACUUGCAUAGACAGCUCUCGAUUAUACACACUGAUUUGAAGCCGGAGAACAUAUUGUUGUUGUCAACGAUAGACCCUUUCAAGGAUCCGAGAAAGUCAAGCGCGCCUCUUAUUCUUUCAAGCAGUAAGGACAAGGAUGCAUCGGAGUCAGGGUUUGCAAAGGCAUUGAAUGGGGAUUUGAGUAGGAACCAGAAGAAAAAGAUUAGAAGAAAGGCUAAACGAGCAGCCCAAGGAUGUGUGGAUAGAGACGAAGCUGAUGCUGAUCUAGAAACAUCCACCGAAGUAGAGUCAUCUCCUAAUACAAAAUUGAAUGUGCAUUCCGGCGAAAAUCAGGCUACUAGUUCUGUCAGUAUGAGUAGAUCAUCAGAUGCUGAUGGACCAAAGGGCACUCGCCCAGGAAGUCAGGGUAGUAAGAGAGGGAAUCGCACCACAAGGCAGAAGUUGUUGGCAUCAAUUGACCUGAAGUGCAAAUUGGUUGACUUUGGGAAUGCAUGUUGGACGUACAAACAGUUCACAAACGAUAUCCAAACAAGACAGUAUAGGUGUCCAGAGGUGAUCCUUGGCUCAAAGUAUUCUACCUCAGCAGAUCUUUGGUCUUUUGCUUGUAUUUGUUUCGAGCUUGCAACUGGUGAUGUACUCUUUGAUCCCCACAGUGGCGACAACUUUGACAGGGAUGAGGUAUGGAUGUAUAAAACCCUAGUUCGGUUGUGUUGUUUUCUUUAUUGCAUAUGGUACUCUCGAAUCCACAUUAGUUUUUCCCUUUGGUAACACUCACACAAUGAAAGUUUCAUAUGAUGUCAAUUCCAUUAAGACAUACAAUAGAAUCUUCAUGUCUAUAAAUGACAAGUCAAUUUCUACCACUGUCCACCGUUAGAAGGACUGACCAUAAUAGUUCUUCAGUAUGCUCCCUAAUACUGAUAGAUCAGAAUAGUUUUGUGCUGUUCAUUUUAAUAUUUUUCUUUAAAUGCUUUGGUUUAGCGUGAGUCCUGAGGCAUGUAAAUUGACGGAAUGAUGCUUUGAAAUUGACUUCUUUCAAUCAUCUCAAGCAUUUAAACCUGGGAAGUUUUUAUUAUUUUCUAUUUUUAAAAUUACUGGAGUAAAUCUUAUAUUGAUAUAUUGCAGGACCACUUAGCAUUGAUGAUGGAGCUUCUUGGAAUGAUGCCACGGAAGGUGAGAAAUCUGUAAACCCUACCAUUAAAAUUAAACUGAACUUCAUCCAACUUAAAUUCCGGUCAACUAUUUUCCAGAUUGCUUUAGGUGGUCGAUAUUCCCGAGAUUACUUUAAUAGAUAUGGUGAUUUGAGGCACAUCCGUCGCUUGCGUUUUUGGCCCCUGAAUAAGGUUCUCGUAGAAAAGUAUGAAUUCAGCGAGCAAGAUGCAAGUGACUUAACUGACUUCCUUGUUCCCAUCCUCGACUUUGUCCCUGAGAAACGGCCUACUGCUGCACAAUGCCUUCUUCAUCCAUGGAUUAAUGCAGGUUCUCGACUAUUGGAACCAUCUAUGGCUUCUGAUAAGAAACAAGGCAUGGACCAUGACACGACUGAAAAGAACAAGAGGGAAAAAGAUGAGAGGGAGGCAAUGGAGGCUGGAGUGGAAAAUAUUGCCAUUAAUUCCGAUUCUAAACCUGUCAAAGACCUCCCAUCUAGUAGUAAACCCUCCAAGGCAGCCGUAAGUAGUUCAUCCAGGUAGAAUCCUAGGAUAAUUUUUGUCUACGGAAUAUGCCUCUUCAUCAGUUUUCUUGUUGGGCUCUGAGAUUGCUUCGAUUGGCUUGACUUACAAAUUUAUUUUGCGGGAUUGCUUCUAAUGCUGGCAAACUUCAGCAUAAGGAAGUUUGAUGCUCCGGUUACAAGUGAACCUUCUUUCAAGCGCAAUUGGCAAACACUGUACACUUCUCCUACAACCAGCUCGUCUGUGAAAAUGUUCAUUUCAAUGUGAUUCAUGUACUGAACUCCAAUCGUGAUAUUGGUACUCUUGAAACACUAAAUCACAUAAUGUUAUUUUUAUUUUUAUUUUUAUUUUUGAGGCCUUCUUUUAUUGUUAAGAUUCGAAAUCUGAGAACCUUCAGAAAAUGCGCUAAUACAAAUUAGUAAAAUUUCAAUGGUUUAACAAAUUAUAUUUGGAGAGGAUAACGAUUUUGGCGCUCAUUUUUUAGUCAUAUGCACUACAAACUGAAUAUUUUAUAGAAUUUAUGCACUCUUGAAAUCAUUAACCUUUUGAGAAUACGAAGUAGAUUUUAAGACUACCAUAAUUUGAAAACUCGUUUUCAGAUUAUUAUCAGCCAAAUCAAACAGGCAUGACAACAAAAAUCAAGGCGGUCGACAGUUAACUAUAUAUUAGAUAUAGAUCACAUAAUGUUGGGGUCUCCAUGGGGGCUGGUGGGAGAUUCUUGCCGUCCCAUACGUUCUUAUUAUUCUUUGCCACACAAUCAAUCACAAACACUUGAAAUACAAAACUAAAUGUUGGUCUCCAUUUGUUGUUGGGGUGGUGGGAGUCUCUCUCUCCCUCAUUCUCAAGUCGUGCAAAACAUUCCAACCCCCCAAUAUCCCAUGUGAUGUGAGACAAAAACAAAAAGCUCAAAACCAUGCACGAGGCAACAUAUGUUCAAAUAUUGGCCACAUGUGCUCUUCAUCAUGAUGAUCCUCCCAAGAAAAGAAAUUCCACUUACAGAGAAAGAAGCCCUUUUGUGGUCAAAGUUGCAGAUACAGUCAAUUUAUGCAGCAUGGCAGCCAAAGCCAUAAUAUUAUAUGGGAAAUUAUUGAUUUUCUUGAACUUUUUAGUGUAAACAAUUGGGAGGAGGUCUUCUUGGAGGCAAUCCCAAAUUAUCAAUUUUGAAAAUCAUUCGGCAACUUUCCAAUGCUAUAAAAAUUAAGAAUCAAACCAAUAUUAUAUGGAAUAAUAGAUGAGAGGAAUCCAAAUUCUGUAAACACUACAUGAGGUCGGUUGAUGAUGGUGUUAGCCAGUAGCUAACAUGCCCCCAUAACCCUACAUAAAUGCACACUUAUUUCAUGAGUUGUUAGCCAGUAGCUAACAAGCAACUUAAUCUAAACCAGAGACAAGGCCACACUUUGGUUCAUGUGUUAGCCAGGAGCUAACGAGCAAAACCAAACCUAAACCAGAGACAAAGCACCACAAGGGGUUCAUGUGUUAGCCAGGAGCUAACAAGCAAGCCACCAGAGAGACAAGGCACACUUGUUUUUAACACAACGAUGUUGACUGGGGUUGGUCAACUAGCUGUUGGCCAACAGUUCCUAAUGAUCUUCAUAAUAUACAAACUUCCAAUUGCAAACUUUCCCAUUGCAUUUUAUUGGAACCUUUUAUCUUUUCGCUAUCGUUCUGUAUUGUUGCCAGCGAUCACUGACUGCUACAGAAGUCUAAGAAUCCCAUGAAUUCUUGAUUUUGUAUCAUUUGGAUGCUCGUUUCUAUGCCGAUCACACCUGAAAAAAAAAAUCCCCAGAAAUAAGAAACCAAGACACGGAUGAUAAAACUUCGUUUUCGAGUAACUGGGAACAUGAUUUCAGGUCUGAAAAAAAAGUUUGUUUUACCCAUUGUAAUAGCGCUAGCAAAGAUGACACCAGAGAGGAUGAACACAAUGAUUGAUGCUCUCUUGAGAAUUGUAACUACUUUUCUUACAAGGCACUGUCCCCAGAAGCCAGCCAAGACAGACACACUUGUGAGGUAUAAAGCUGCAAAAGGAAUUCACAUUGGAAGAAGAAAAAAAAUUAAUUUCUUGUGAUCAUCAAAUGAAAUGUAUCAUAAAUAGGCUGCUAACUGAAUUAGAAAAGGAGACCAGAAAGGAAAGCUAUACCAUAUGGAAUAGGAAACCUCUUGAGCAGGUAGAACUCCACCACCGAUAAGGACGCGGAGAAUGUCAUCACGAAUGUAGCUGUUGCACUUGCAACCUGUUCAUGGUAGCAGCAAGAUGGUUACUCCAACUUAGAUUUUUUAAGAAACUUUACUUGUAGUUUCAUGAAGCUCAAUGUUUUGCGUUGAAAGUACUUGAACUUUACAAGGUAGGUUCUCACCUGAGGGAUAACGCCUAUCUCAAGAAGGAGAGGGCCAAGAAUAAAUCCUCCACCGGAUCCAAGCAAGCCGCCAACAGUGCCUCCCAAGAUACCACAGAGUGCACAGAACGCUAUGUGAAUAGGAGUCCAUGCGAUCGAAGCCUCGCAAAUUGAUUCGGUGUUUCCUGUGCUCAUUCUCUUCUUGUGCUCCUUGCACAGCUUGACUGAUUCAUAUCCAAACACUCCAAGUGCAAUGGGAAACUGGAGAAACAGAACAAAAGGGUGAAAAAGCCUGUCCCCACAGAACAGUAGGACAAUAGAGCUAAGGAACAAGUUGUUCCACUUAUCUAGUUGUACUAGUAUGCCUACCUGUAAACAGAAGAAGACCCAAUACCAUGCACUGCAAGCAUUUACAUCAUUCUGCACUCAAUUUAUAAAGUAUCAAAAGUAGGCAAUCAGGGAGAGAGAGAGAGAGAGAGAGAGAGAGAGAGAGAGAGAGAGAGAGAUCUACUUGCCUUGAGGACUUGAAGAACUAGGAAAAGAACCCAAACUACUACCAGCACCACAACCCUUUUCCACCUAAGGUUGAACUUUAAUAUUUGCUGAAAAAAAAUGGAAAAUUUUCAGCCCCUUACCACGAGAAGAUAAUUAACACAUCAUAGAAUUUUAUAUGCCAGCUUUUGCUUACCAGUAUUGAUUUCUCUUCUCUAGGAAGUAAUGGCUCGUACUGUGUAUCAAUUAGAACUGCACCUUACCCAAAAAAAAAAAAAAAGACAGUAGAUUGAAUUUCAGGAACAGAAGGAAAUACACACACACGCAUACAAAGUCACACAGAUGUACUUGUGUCGUACGUUCACCCCUAGAGUCCACUACAGUUGCUUGCUGCCUUGCAAAUUCUUUCUGCAAAAUUUUCAGAAAUUUAUUCAUCAUGUAAUCAGUCAACUUUGAUAAUAAUCUUCAAAUAUUCUACAUAAUGCAUAAUUAAUACCAGUCAAAAAUGUCUGACCUUCAUGAUAGUCUCUUCCUUCCACAUCUCAAACCCUUUAAAACAAGACCUUGAUGAAGUUCCUGAUACAAUUUAAAAAACAAAAAGGAAAAAAUUGAAAUUAACAAAAAUUUUAAAAAAUAUAUGAAAUUGGGUUGGAUAAGAAAUACAUGUUGACUGUGAUUCUACAGACCCAAGAAGAGUAUAAUGAUGAGGACAGUGAUGAGCCAGUAGGGGAAGACAACACUGAGAGCCACACCCAAGGUGAUGCCAAGCAUGAGCAUGGGCUGAAAGAGAAGGGCCAGAUCAUAGUCUAUAAUUGGCACUUCUUUUGUUGGAUGAGGCACUCUCAAAUUGUACCAGACUGAUGAUGCAGAUGCCCCCAUUAUCAUACCUGUGACCAAGUCAACAUGCACAUCCAAAUUAAAUUCAGUAACUAUGAAAGUACAAAACAGAAAAAAAGAAAUAACAUUUACUCAAUAAAGUAAGAGAUAUGUAUCUAAGCCAAUCAAGCACAAAAGUGUAGGGGCAAAAUUCAGAAUCUGGGGAAGACACAAGUGGGAGACAGAAAGACAUCAUUGCUCUGGCUACCCUUUUGGAUAUUAAAACAUGUGACUUUUUUUUAAUUAAAUUUUCUGGCCAUAUAUGUAAUAGAUUCCAUGUGAUUAUAUAUAGGUUCUUUUUAUAUGUGUUAAAUAAAAUUUCUGACAUCAUGAACUCAAUGAAAACCAGAAGAAAAAGGUAGUCUUUGAAAGUUGAAAUAAAUCAAAAGAAUGGAGGAAGAAGAUGUGUAGAGAAAUGAAAUUACAUUUGGAAAGAGCAGCAGCAGACUUUGUAUCAAAUCCAACAAUUAAAGUAAGCAUAGGAACAAAUAUUCCACCCCCUCCUACACCUCCUACUGUCCCACAUGCUGAUCCCAGAAAACCAAUCACUGUCGCCAAAACAAGUCUCCAACUAAACUUCAAUUCCUGCAUUAAAAAAAAUGAACAAAGCCCAUCACACUUUAAGCAACACUUUGUAAUUUCCUCAUAAACAUAACAUAAAUAUAUGCAUGUAUGGAGAGAUAGAGAGAGAGACACACACACACAAAACCAGAGAAAAAAGAGAGAGAAGGAGACAUACGGGCCAGGUUUUGUCUGUGCUGGAGAGGUGGGAAGAAAGAUUGGAAUUGAGAGAGAGAGAAAGACGGGAUUGAAGGGGAGAGUCGUAACCAUUCUGGUACUGCGUGACGAAGAACACAGAGAGAAUAGCCACCGAAAAACUUGAUAGGAGAUAGAAAACUAAGCCUCUUGUGGCCAUCGAACAGUGGUUGGUUGGUUUCUCGCUUCUAGCAGAAACACCGAGCACUUAUUUAGAAGAAGAUAUAACUGUAAGGUUCUGUUUUCGCUUGGCUUCGCUGGACGCCCAGAUACGUUAUUUUCUAUUUUCCAACAAAACAAUGCGAGAGAGAUAGAGAGAACCAAUGUGUUCCAAGAGGCUUAAAUAGCGUUAUAUAAUAUGAGAGAGAGAUGGAGAGAGAGAAGGAGAGAGGGUGAAUUGUCGUUUAAUAGAAGAGCACACAUGACAUGAGAGUGAUACGACACAUCUAGAGUCACAUGGAUCAACUAGGGCAUCAGACCUAAGGUGACCUGAAUCAAAUUUAUUUUAUGAAUUAGAGUUACCAUAAGGGAUAUACACUAGAAAAUAUUCCUUUUAUUUUGUUGCCAUCUAAACCAUUCAUAAAACGAACGUAGUCACGUCCAUUAGGGAAAUUUGGAUUAGGACUUCGCUCCUAUAUGACAUGUCACGUAAUUUUUUUUUAAAUCAAACAAAUGAUAAUAUUUUAUUAGAUUAAUUAAAACGUAACAUAUUAUUUAUGUAACACGUCUUAUAUUUUGACUAGACAGUAAAUGUUUAAGUUUUGUUCUCCCUCUGUUUUAAAUAAUUAAAUCCUAAUUAAAGACGAUAAUCAUGACAUUUAAUAUUAUGUGACAACGCUCGCUCAAUACUUUAACAAAAAGUCAGUGUAAGAUCAAAACGACAUCACUCUACUAGCAAUUAACAAUUGUCAAUACGUGUCAAAGAAAACCUUCCUUUUCUUUGGCAAAAAUUAUCAAUCAAUCAGACGAUUACUCCCAGAUCUUCUGAAACUUUUUUUUUUUGGCAUCAACGAUUCUUUUUAUUUUCUCAAUCUUUUGAUCUCUUAAUCAUUAAGUGUAAAUUUCACAUCCAUUUACCUCGGUUACCUCGGUGUCGGACGGUGAAAAAGUGGGUGUACUUCUCACACAGUCAGACUCAAGAUUCCAGUUCUCUGUCUUUUUAACUUUCAGAGUUGGCAGGUCUACGCAUGCAAGCCUUAGAGUAACUCCAUUCAUUUGCUCUUAACCAUAGUAAGGGGGGAGUUAGGGUAGUCACUAUUCACGUAAAUAGUAGUUGUCCUUACAAAUAGAAUUUUGUGUUUCCACCCAUUGCCAUGGCUAAGGGCAAUUACUAUUUAUUUAUUUUUUUGUUUUUUUCACAAAUUUUUUAAUGAAAAUAAUUAAUUUGGAUAAUAUUUUUAGAUAAGAUUUCCGGGUCCUUACGUGUCAAGACUAUUCAUAAUCGGAUAAAAUUUCCGGAUAAGAUUUUUGGAUUCAAAUUUCGGAUGAAUUUCAAAAUUCAAAUUUCAGAUAAAUUUUUUGGUUCAAAUUUCGAAUGAAUUUCAAAAUUCAAAAUUCAUACAAAUUUGGGUUCAAAUUUCGGAUGAAUUUCAAAUUUCAUAUAAAAUUUUCAUCCAAUCAAAUCAAGCCACGUGGCAUGUCUAUCUUGCUAAAAUUUUCUAUAAAACUAGAGGCUCAGCUCAUACUUCUCACACCACAUCUUUCUAUGUUUUCAUUUCUCAGAGUUUAGAAUUCAUACUUCAUUCAUUCUCAAUGGAAGAUUUUAGGAGAUGCUUGGAGAGGCAAGAGCGAGAAACAAAUGAGAGAAACCGUAGAGCAGAUGAAAUCAAUGAGUUGCAAAGACAAGUUGAUGAACAAGUUGUCAUAGCAGUGGCUUUGCAAGAUGAAGAGAACCAAGGUCGCCGCCGUAGUUCACAAGUCGGCCGCCGCCAGAAUGUGGACAUACAUAAACAUUCUCGGGGUAAGAAUCUUUUGGAAGAUUAUUUUAUCCCAACUUCUUUAUACUCUAAUGUUGAUUUUCGAAGGCGAUUUAGAAUGCAACCUCAUUUGUUCAAUAAAGUCAUGCAUGAUAUUUGCAAUUAUGAUGCAUACUUUGUUCAAAAGUGUGAUGCUACUGGGGUUUUGGGGCUUCUUCCGGAGCAAAAGCUUACAGCUGUUAUACGAAUGUUGGCGUAUGGAGCAUCUGCUGAUCAGGUGGAUGAGAUUGCCCAGAUGGGGAAGUCCACUACAUUGGAGGCUUUGGUAAGAUUUUGUCAAGCAGUUGAAACUUUGUACACUAGGGACUACCUGCGUAGACCUACUCCCAGGGACCUCCAACGGCUUCUAUAAAAAGCCGAAACUCGAGGAUUUCCAGGAAUGAUUGGUAGCAUCGACUGCAUGCACUGGCAAUGGAAAAAUUGCCCAACUACCUGACAAGGUGAUUACGGAAAUAGAAAAGCCCAAAAAGGUUCAUCCUUGAAGCCUUUGCUGGCUUCGACACAUGGGUUUGGCAUGCCUUCUUUGGAGUUGUAGGAUCCCAAAAUGACCUCAACGUGCUGGGUCAAUCCCCGGUCUUCAACGAUGUAUUGACAGGCCAGGGCCCCAAUAUCACCUAUUAAGUCAACAAUACAGUGUACCAGACGGGGUAUUAUCUAGCUGACGGCAUCUACCCGAGGUGGACCACUUUUGUCAAAUCCAUUCCGAAUCCCCGAUCCCAGAAGCAAAAAUUAUUUGCUACCUAUCAAGAAGGAUACAUGAAAGAUGUCGAAAGGUGUUUUGGCAUCCUUCAAGCUCAGUGGUUGAUUAUUCGAGGUGCGGCCCGUAUGUUUGAUGAGGAGAUCCUCAGAAGCAUUAUGAUGACUUGCAUCAUCCUCCAUAAUAUGAUUGUGGAGGAUGAGUACGAUUAUGAUGUUUUAGAGGUCUACGAACCGGAUCCAAUGAACACGGCCUUGACACGGAUUUAUGAAAGGCCCAUAGGGCCAAGUGGAGAACCGUUUGAGCCGGAACCGUUGGUGAGGGAUGGUCAUUUCAUGACCUGAAUGAUAGAUCGAUAUAUAGAGAUGCAAUCUUCGUAUAUUCAUGAAAUGCGUCAAGUUCCCUUGAUGGAGCAUCUAUGGGCAGUGAAAGGCAAUGAAGAUGAAUGAUGGAGCAUAGAUGCUUUGGUUAUGUUUUAUUUAGUUAUGGUUAGGUUGUGUUGUAUUUUUAUUUAUUAUGGUUUGGUUGUGGUUUGUUAUUAUUAUUGUGGUAUGUUUGUAGUUUUUUUAUAUUUUAAUUUUGUUUUGUUUGAAGUAUGGAAUAUGUUGAAUAAAAAGGUAAUUUAUUGAAUGCUUUGUUUAUUAAAUAAAGAAAUCUAAUACAAGUCAUUAAGAAUUACUACUACUAAAAUAAAAUACAUGAAUUACAACUUCUUUAAUAGAAAACAUGAAAAAUACAAAUACAUAAAAGGUAUGCUAACUAAUUUAAUGGUUUCCAUCAUUUAACCAAUCCGUGUUGCUAGGCCCAUCAUCCCGGAAAAGUAUUCUUCUCAUAACAUCCAUUCGUUCUAGUUUCCAAAAUUAUUUUUUUUCAGGGGACAUAUGACUUGUAUUCAUCGCCAUGGUUUCCCGAUCCAUCUUGUCCAUAUUUUUUUUGCGCAAAUACUCCCUUUCUCAUGCAUACUCGGCUUGAAGGGCCAACUCGUUAUCCUGGCGUUUCUGCUCCAUUUCAAUUCUUAUGCCGUUUUGCCUUACAAUUUCCUCCAAAAACUUUGAAUUAUUAUUGCUUGAAUUACCCGCUUUCUUUGCCUUCGCGGCCUUUCGGCCAAUGGGCCUCAGCUCAUUUUCGAUGGGUGAGUCUUGACUCAUAGGGGAAUCAAGAGGUGAAUCCGAUGUUAUUGAAUCACGGAGUGGCGUCUCAUUUAACACAACAGCGGGACCCGUCGGAAUAAUUAUGAAGCGUUUGCAAUAUUUCACCACCUCACACCAUUCAUGAUGGUUGAAAUUUUUUUUGCCACCCCAGUUGCACCGAACCAUAUUUGUGCUUGAAUCAUCUAUUUAACAAAAAAAUGGAAAUGCAAUAAAUAUUUAAAAUAUAUUGGAUAUGCAAGUAACAAAAAAAAUAAUAAUGGAAAUGCAAUUAACCUUACAAAUAAAUUAGAAGUGCAAGAAAAUUAAGAAACAAUUGGAAAUGCAAGAAAUAUUAACAACAUACUGAAAAUGCAAGAAAUAUUAACAAAAUAUUGAAAAUGCAAGAAAUAUGAACAAAAUAUUUAAAAUGCAAGAAAUAUUAACAAAAUAUUUAAAAUGCAAGAAAUAUGAACAAAAUAUUGAAAAUGCAAGAAAUAUUAACAAAAUAUUUAAAAUGCAAGAAAUAUUAACAAAAUAUUUAAAAUGCAAGAAAUAUUAACAAAAUAUUGAACAUGAAAUAAAUAUUAACAAAAUAUAUAUAUAUUAGGAGAUUAAACUUAAUAAAACAAAAAUUAUAAAAUACUUACCUCGUUAGUACGAUUUUCCCCGCUUCUAUAGUUGUCCAUCGCUUUUGCCAGGGCAUCUCUCCAUUUUCCCAAUUCUUUAUUGAGAAUUUUCCACCUACUAGAUAAUGUCAUCUCCGUACGAGUAGACCCCGGAAUUCUUUUCACAAAAUUCGGCAUGAAUUUUUUUCCACAUAUGAAAAAAUUUCAUCUCAUUGCCGGACACGGGACAAUGACAAAUUUGGAGCCAAGCCUCACACAAGGAAACAUCUUCCAUGGUGCUCCAAGCCCCUCCGAUUUCGAUAAAAGAAGCCAUAAAAAUAUGAAAUAAAAAUACAAGGUGAAAAAGAGGAAAAUGUUGAGUAAAGAGUGAAUAAUAGUAGAAGUAUAAUGAAAUGUAUGAGGAUUGGUGUUGAAAGUGAAAGGUAUUUAUAGGUAUUUAUAGAAAAAAAAAUCUGAAUUUUUUAGAAUUCUUUAAAAAAAAAUUUGAUUUUUUUUCAUAAUUUUAUUGCCCAAAAAAUGCCAACCGUUGGAUUGGAAUCGGAGAUGCUGAUCGGAGCGCUGGGGGCGCAACAUGUGGCAUCUUCCCAUUGGAACUGGCGUCGCGCUGACGUCAGCGCGCGCUGGUUCAAAUUUUUUUUACCGUUGGCGCGUGCAUUGAACACGCUCGCUGACAUCAGCGUGACACAAGUGCUAACGUCACAGCCCGCGGGCUGAACUUGCCUUCGGGCUGGUCCGAAUUGGUAGGUAGGACCCACUCCCCCCCCCCUGAGCUUGGGUUGACCGCUGGAACCAAUUUUUUUUUUUCCCCUAGCCUUGGGCUCAGCUGCCCGUUGGAACUGCUCUUACAAGUGGCAGUUCCUAUCAUGGAAGUGGUGGAACACAUUUUGAUGUAGGCCUGGGCACAGAUCGGUUCGGAACGGUAGAAAGCUCUUCCGUUAACCAAAUCAAGGACUUCGAUAGACCAUUUUCUCUUCCGUUAACCAAAUCAAGGACUUCGGUAGACCAUUUUCUCAUCCGUUAACGAAACCAAAGACUUCGGUAGACUUCGGAUCAGUUAACUUAAUAUUCGAUUCGGAUUGGAUGGUACACCGGUAGUACCGUAAUAAAAACAUACUAAUAAAAAUACAAUUUAUAAUACUUUCACGUUACAUAAGUUCUUGAACAAAUACACCAAAUUAUCCUUGUAAAAUAUAAAAAUCCAAUAGUCUAAUUCAUCCAAGUAUGAAAUCAAAUAACUUAGUCAUAUAUCAUUCAAUAUGUACUCAGGAUGUACUAGGAGCCACUUGUGUUUGUUGUUUGAAUCUUUGAGUGUUCUUUUUUAUUGAAUUCUCUUCAUUUAUGUAAAUGAUUUUGACAUUUGUUCCACAAUGUGUUCUUUAGUUUUUCAUGCUGAAUCCAACCAUAUAAAGAACAUAAAAUUUGGAUCAACAGUUGGAAAGUUACAGGUAAAAAAGGGACAAAGGUCGAAACUGGAAAACAUAGGAAGUUCAUAAAUUCAUCUCUGACCAAAAAGUGCUAUAGUACUCGGGUAAGUGAUACAAUGGUGAUAAAGAAGUGAUGCAGUGGUGAUAAAGCAGUGAUAAAUGGUAAUAAAACAGUGAUAUAAUGGUGAAAAAGAAGUGAUACAGUAGUGAUAAACGAGUAUACAAAAUGCUGAUUGUAUUUACCUUUGGUUUCUUGUUUUGUAUUUAAAUAAUAAAAUAAGUAUAAAUAUCGGAUCGGUACGGGUUUCUGUCGGGUUAGGAAUUUUGUUUUCGUUAACCAAACCAAACAUUUCGGUACGGAUUGGAUCAGAUCGGAAUAAUUAAAAGUAAAAAAUUAAUUAUUUAACCAAACCAAACCAAACCGUCGGUAUGGUACGGUCAAUACGUGGAUAAUUCGGAUGAGAUGCCCACCCCUAUUUUGAUGUAUAUAUUUUAGGACAUUUCCUAUUGAGAUAGACGAUAAUAUACUAAACUCACAUCAGUAAUGGAUUCAGGAUUCGAACCCCAUGUGGUCAUGGUGUAAAUGUUCCAAAAAAAAUUUAAGAGAGAGUUAUUAUUAUUUUUUAAUCUAUUUUUUCUCUUCCAAAUGUUAUUUCUUUCUUGAACAAAUAUACUUGAAUGAUUUCAAUCUGUCAUUUUUUCGACUCAUGUUUUUGAGUGAUUUCAAUUUGUAAAAUUUCAAACCCAUAUCAAUUAACCGAAAAACAAUAAUUGUGGUGCAAUAAUAGAUGGUGGACAACAGUGGCAACACAUCAGCUGCACUAUAGCAAGUGGGUAUUAGGGAGGUUGGGAUUAGCGUUUGGAAAGAGAAUAAUAGAAAUUAGGGGUUUUUGGGGGGUGAUUAUCGGAAGGGCUUUGAGGGGUGGGGGGAAAGGUGAAGGAAAACUUUCUUUUCUUUUUAUUUAUAAAAUGACUUGGCUUAAAACGACGUCAUUUUGCUCAGGGAGUUAUAAAAAAAAAAAGAGCACAGUACGCUUCUUCUCCCUCAGGCGCAUCUCCUUCAUAUUCCUUAAUCAAAACAUCGAGCAGUUAGAAUGUAGUCCAUAGGGUCGCAUUGUCGGUUUAGGUAGACCUCCAAGUCUAUUUCCAUAGCUUCCAUAAGGUCGUUUGACCUCAGUGAACUCAAUGUGGCUUCGUCUUUAACUCACACACACUGCACGGAUGCUAAAACUCGAACCCACGACCUUGCCCUGGGGGGAAGGAGAAGGAGGGAGCAAUUGCUCCAAACCAUUACACUAAUGGGUCCUUUGAAAGGUCUUGAAUGUUAAGUUAUUGUAAAAUAUAUAUAUAUAUAUAUAUUAUAUGUUGCAAUGGUUUCUCUAUAAAUAAGCAUUUGUUGGUUAAUAAUGCUAUAUGUACUUUUUUAAGGCCGUAUUUAGUUGAGUGGUUUAUAAUUCAUGUGACGAGUUGACAUGUGAGAUAUCUUUGCGCCGACUUUAGGGGAGGGUGAUCACAAGUUGUGUAUAGUAAUUAGGAGAUAUGUGACCUAAUUUCUAUAGUUGACCCACUUGAGUGUCAUUCAAAGAUGUUUGGUUGUAGACUAGUGGGAAAGGGCAUUGAUUUACAGACCAUUGGUCUCAAGUUUGAACCCCCAUAACACCUUGGUAGUAUGUGUGCGUGAGAAACCCUCUCCCACUUGUUUUUUUUUUUGUUGAGAAAUUCUAUGAUUGCAUUCAUAAUUUAGCCAAAAAAGUCACUAGCCACAAAGGGCCAAUACAAACUAGCCACAAAAGGGCUAUUACAAUAACGGAGCGGUCUAAUAUCAAAAUUAAGACAAUCUGGUAUGUCUCCACUAACGAUCAGACAUGAUCGAAGAAACUCUGGCAUAGGCAUCCCAACUAAGAUUGCAAACUUAAAAUAAUAAAAAAAAGAUAAAGCUUGAAAAAACCAAGUCAUAACAAUACAAAUAAAACUCUCACAAAGGAGAGAUGAAAAACUCUCACAAAAGGAGAGGUGAAAACUACACAGAGAACCCAAAGAGUCUCUGCAACUCAUUUUGAACAUAAAGAAAUUGCAAAAAAGAUGGUGGUGGAGAUCCGACGACGAAAUGCAGGUGAAGAUCCGAUGCUGAGCCGCAGCCGCCUAUAAUGGUUGGAUGAAAAUCAUAAUAAAACUAAGAUAAAUAGGAAAAACCCUUUGUCUCUGAAAAUGGGGGAAGACCCUUUAGACUAUCACUUGUAUUAUAAUUUGGGCUUCUUAGAUCUAGAUCUAAAACGGUUAGAUGUUAUAUUGGGUUUAGUCUACGAGUUUUUAGUUUUAGAUAUAGGUCUUUUGACAUUGAUUGCUUUUUUGUUGUGUCGAUUUUACCCUUUGAGGUAAAUAAGGAGAACACGUUGAAAAUCUAAAUUUAAUGCAUGAUUUCAUUGUAAUUGAAUUUCAGAAUUUAAAUUUUGAAUUCUUUCCUUAAUAAUAGUUACCUAAUAUAUGAAUAAAAUAUAAUUUAAUCAAUGAAAAGUAAAGAUCCACUUAUUAUACCAAUCACAAGUACCCACAUGAAAUGAUGUACUUGGCAUAGAGGUAAAUAGUGUUAUUAUUAGCAACGAAAAAAACUUAGUGAUAAGUUGUGUUACCUAUAAGUUAGGAACAUAAAUUAGAAUACUACCUAGUUAGGAACAUAAAUUAUAUUACUACCUAUAGUGAGAUACAAAAAUAGACAAAUAAAACUGUAUGUUACCUAUAAAAAAGGAUACAUAAAAUACUUUUACACUUUGUAGAAAAUAUUAAAAAACACAUAUAUACUUAUGCAAUAGGCAAUAGGACCCUACGCCAUAGGAUAAUAUAUCCACAAGAGUAUAUAAUGUACCUCUACUAUAGGAUGAACAAAAAUAAAAAUUGUUACCUAAACUCAAACUCAAAACACCUACAUACACCAAGUCGAGGGCGUAGAAAAACAUAUAUAUGUUACUUUACCUACGCAAUAAAGUAAGCUUAGGUUCCUACAAAAUGCCAUAAGCAUAAAUAAAAAUAUGAUAUACAUAUUCUGAUGAACAAAAUUAACCCGACAAAGACAAUGUUCUGUUUAAUUAGUAUUAGUACAACAUAAUUUAACCCACAUAAUAGGUACAAUAUGGAAUGCACCAAUUCUCUACCUAGGUAUGUAGAAUAAGAAGAAGAAGAAGAAGAAGAAUAUGGAUAUAUUAACAUAACAAAAAAUAGAUAAAGAAAAGAAGAAGAUAGAAGAAUACAUGGCGAACGAAUAACAAGAAAGAAGAAGAAGAAAGAAAAACGUGGAGGUGGUUAUAAGCUAAAUUGAAGGAGAAGUUAUAUCUCCAAAAUAAUAAAUUGUCCUAAAAUUAUGAGAUUUAUUAACUUAUGUAUAUCCCUAUUCGAAGGAGAAUGACUAUUUGUAACAUGAUUUUUGGGAUAUGUUCGCGAUAUUUUCCUUUUUUAUUCAAUGACAAAGGUCGUAAAUGGCUAAUUAUUAUUAUCCAAUUCAAUGCAUAAUGGGCAACAUUGGAAUAAAAAAUAAUUUUAAGAAAAUAAAAAGAAAAAUAUUACUUCAGAAAAUAUUUAAAAAUGAAUGUAAUCCUAUGUGGCACAAAAGCUAAAUGACUUGUACUAAAGUCACAAAAUCCAAGGAUUAAACCCAACUUCUCAAUGAAAAUUUGAAUCUAUAUCAACUUUUCUAUAGAUAUAUAUAUAUAUAUAUUAAAAAAAGAUGUUUCGUUCCGGGCCAACAAACUCUUAGCCCAAUGGAAAGAGGUCUUGACUUACAUACCAGUUAUCUCAUGUUCAAAUCUCUAUGCCAUUUUGGUAAUGUAUGCGUGUGAAGAACUCCCUCCAUUUUGUACUUUAGAGUCUUAUCACUUAUAUUGAAAACCAAAAAAUAAACAAAAAAUGUGAUAAACAGUUGAUAAGAAAUUAAGAUCAGAAUCUAUCUGAAGCACCAAUUAACUAAAAAGUUUUCAAUUAAUUAUUAUUUAUUUCCAAUAAAAGUAAACGUUGGCAUGUGCGAAGAUGCUAGUUAGCAAAAAGGACAAGAAAAGAUAUGUCACAAUUUGAAUUAGAGAGGUUGUGUUGUUUUCCAUUAGAAAAAGAGCAUAACUUAGUUCCUUAAAAUUAAGACGAAAUUUUUUUUAAGAAAUCAAAUCAAUAAAUAGUUGUGUAAUUAAUUACUGGAUUUAGGUUUUUUUUAUUUUUAAUCAUUGGAAAGAGGGAGAUACCAAUUUGAAAUUUGAGAAAAGGAAAGCACAACAUGAUCAAUUUAAAGGUAUCUAGAAAGGCCUCUAUCACCUUUUGGAAAGAAAAAAAAAAAAGCAAAACAAAAAAGGCCUCUAUCAUCAAAUGGUAGAAAUCCAAAUUGUCCUUUCGCCAAUGGUUCUGGCUCAAACGUGGUCCUGCUGCUUUGUACACAACUUAAUAAAGAUCUCCUUGACAUAUUCUCAGAAGACAAAGCCACCGUGUGGUACCUUUCUUCCCCAACCUCAGUCAAUAUAUAUAAGUUUGAUAAAAUGUGAUUGCUUGGUUCUUGUUUUUAUUUUCCGAUCAGUGAUAGCUUGGUUCUCGUUGAUAUAAGCUUUAGAGUUAACUUUGAUUUAUAUGCAUUUUAGAUCUGCAGUUUCGAAAAAUUAUUGUGAUUUUCUUUAGCAAGUGUGGGGCAGUACUGCUGCAUGUGCACUAAAACCAAAAAAGAAGGGUGUAGGUGUGUGCACGUUUACAUGUAGGUCCAAUUUGAACUGCCAUUUUUCUUUUGGGAUGCAAAUUAAAUUGAAUGGUUUUUUCGACAAAACAAGGAGAUAUGUAUGUAGAAUGGUACAUUUAUAAACGAGUCAACACACUCACAACAAGAUUUAUAUAUGUCACGAUAAUGAGACUAAUCAAAAAUAUAAAUCGUCUUUGCAUUUAUGUAAAUUGAAUAUGAGAUCUCUUCUAUUGAACUGCUACCUUUAAUAAGCUGAUGAUCACAUAAGUUACUAUUUUCUCUCACUAAGUUUCUUAUGAAUCAAUCUAAGAUGACUCAUUGUGCAUACCACAGAUAGAAUAUGUUUCAAUCACUGACAAUACUAUCACCCCAAAACCUACGUAAUCACUGACAAUUACUGUUGAUUACUGAUGAUUAGAGUAUUUAACAAAAGUGGAGCCAUCAUUUAGGUCAAAAGAACAUAUAUAUAUAUACCAGAUUGUGAUGGAUGGAGGCCUCAAGAUUGUGAAGUAAUAUUAGUCUAUGGUCAUAUAUUCAGAAAUCAAGUACGUCUGGUUAAUUUGUGCAUGAAGCCUUCAAAAAAAGGUCCCAGCAGUUUCAGUGAAAUAUAAAAGCCAUGGUUGGUGCAUGUGCUCUUAAACUAUUGAUUCCAGAAAGAGCUUAAAAACUUAGGGUGAUGUCAAAACUCCUGCAGGACCAUGUCGUACUUACAUUGUGUUGUCUUUGCCUUGAUGCUAGAAAUAGUGAUAACUAUUGGCUAACUAACAAAUGAAAUAUAUAUAUAUAUAUAUAUAUAUAUGUAUAUAUACUAUUUCGAGACUUCAUCAGCUUAGGCUGACUUCCAUCCAUAAAACCUAGGCCAGCCCAUAAACAAAGGGAAAGAUCAUUCAUAAGAUAUGUUCCGGUGAAAAGAUUUCAAUAAAUGUUAUGUUUUUAGACUGUGAGUUAGAAUUCUGCACACUUCGACUUACUCGAUAAUUUCCAUCUAUAUUCAUACAUGUCUGACUGUAUGACGAGAGAAAAUAAUGACUCCAGAUUCAGAUGUCUCAAGCUGGGGUUAGAUAAUUAUUAUUUCUUCCUGACCCAGCCAAUCAUACUUUGUACGGUCAUCGAGAGUGGGCUUCAUGUUACGGCAGGAAGUUGUCCGAUAUUUUCAACCCUUGACAUUAUGCUCUAUAAUCAGCGGGGGACCAACUAAACUCCAUGAUUGGUGAGCACAGUUAAAAACUCUAUGAUUACUUGCAAGGGAAACCAAGAAGUUUUUGGGUGACUCCACCCACUGGCGGAUUCAGGAAAUUUUAUUUCAGGAUCAACCUCUAAAGGUUUAAAAAAAAUUAUACAAAAUAUAUCCAUAAAAAUAAAAUGAUAAUAUUAUAAUUCAUAAUUAAUAGAAAAAAAAAACACAUUACAAUUGUCCACGAUGAGUUUUCAUAUUCUAGAAACGUAGCAUCAAGUAAGCUAUUACUCAGCUAUUGAUCUCCCAUUCUGUUGCGAAGUGGACCUUUCACAAUUUUCAUAGCAGAAAAUGCUCUCUUCACGGAAGCAGUUGCAACUGGUAAAGUUAAGGCUAAUGUGAGAAGCAAAUAAACAUAAUUAUAUGUUUUAUGCAACCAUUUCUCCACCAUUUUUCUUGCAAGGCUACCAAUUCCUUUCAAUUGAGAAAAAUGGGUCAUCGUACACAUAUGAUUAAUAUAAAUCUCAAAGCUGAUCUUCAAGUGCCACGAGAUCUUGGGGAUUAAAAUCUUAAGGAUAAAAUUCAACAAAACGAAGUAGCUUUUGUUUGUCAAAAACUAUGAAUGAAUCAUCCAGACUCAAACAAGUCAAACAAAGAAGUAACUCAGUAUUUACCUCACUGAAGCGAUGAUUUAAUUCCACAAGUUCUCACUCAAUGAUUUGAAUAAAGAUGUCCACACAAUAAUGAUGGAGGUGUGUUAUUCUAGGAACUCUUCGAUGUGAUCUCUAUUGAGCUACAUAUGUAUCAUUCAUGUUUGGAACCAAGAUAUCAUGUUUGACACAAAAGAAAGAUACUUAAUCAAACAAAGCUUCAAAUGCAUUCUCUUUCAUAUGUCGUAGUUAGUCCUUGCAAACUUUGACUAAAGUUAUUGCAUUUCCAAUGUCUUGGUGUUUUCCUUAAAAUACUUGUAACAAGUCAUUUAUAAUGAUGGAGUCUCCACCAUAUACUUUAACAAGUUGGGUUCACAUAUAUCUACUUGAAACAAUUAAUUAAGAAAAAAGAAUUAUUAUUUUUUGUCAUUUUCUCAGAUUCGUGGUAGCAGAUGGCUCAAAGUGGUGACUCUUGCUGGUAAGAAUUAUUGAUCAUCCAUAUACGUGUAAGAGAUGUGUAUCUCAUCCCCAAAAGGGAGAAGAAAGCCCAAACCAAAAAUAGACAGGAGUUAGAAGCCCCGGGAUUCUGGAGACAUUCGAUCGAUCGCCCUCAAUUGACCUAGCUAACUUCUGAACUUUUUUCCCAACGUACAUUCAUGUCAUCACCUUAUCAUAUUAAAUUCCACGAUAUGAAUAUAAUUUUAAUUUAAUAAUGUAAUAUGCAUAUCAAAUGCCGUGUAGAAUAAAAAAUGAAAGAAAGCGAAGCUUUGUAGUAUUUUUAUUAAAGUUUAUACAAAGAUCAAUAUAGAAGACAACCCAGCUUAUUAUGUAACGUGUAUUCGGUGGUCUUGUUAGUCUUAGUUCGCAGAACAAAACGUGAACCAUUUUUCUUAUAAACUUAGAACCUCCUUUAAUUUCAUCAAAAUCUAUGGCGGCUAAGCGAUCAUAUUCUUAUUAACAUGAGUAUAAUCACGAAGAAGAAAACAAAUUGAAUGCAACAAACUCAAAGUCUACCUUAUAGUCAGAGAUAAGGUGAAAAUUAAAGUAGACCACAUUGAUGAUGAUAAGGUGGUAGUGGAAAGGUUUUGAGAGAAAAAUAUGUUGAUUGAUGAGUUUCGUCAAAUUGUUUUGGGAGCUUUUAUAAUGAGGGGUGUUUUUGGUGAGGACUCGGAUUCUCUGUUUUGAUUUUCUCUGUUAUGAUCUGGUUUACUUUUGUUCUCCGUAUGCCACCUCAUUAAAAUUUAAUCUAAGGGAUAUAAAUUGGACACAUCGACUGUAAAAUAAAAUUUUAAUUUGCUCCUAAUUAAAAAUGAUUAAAAAAACCUUAACUUGACUAACACCUAAACGUAACGUCUCUGGAAGUUUUUUUUUUUCCUUCUUCCUCCUCUGCACGUCUGCAUCACUCAUCAAUCUUUUCUUUCUCCAAUCUUAGAACACAAAAACAUUCUUACCAAGAAGAGUAUGAACAUAACAAGAAUCCUAUGACACAUCGAAUAAGAAACUAGCUCCAAAGGCAUAGGAAAUUAAAUCAUUAAAUUUGCCCAAAUAAUAGAAAACCUGGAGUGAGAAUGAAGAUAAGUUAGAAAAUAUAGAAGUAAACUCUACGUUUUCAAAGAAAAAAACAGGGAAUUUAUGCCCACAAUGAUGAAGAGAGACAAUUCCACUUUUUGUUUCCGAAGUUUUGUUAUCGCAUUUUGUUCCUCAUUCAAAUUCCACGUUUGGUUGUUGAGAAAUUCCGAAAAAGAAACUAAAAUUUGGAUUUUGAAUCUCAUCUGGUUUGGGGGUUGUGAUUUCUCAGGAACGAAAUGGAGCAUUGAGAGAAGUUAAUUGCGUUGGGUACAGUCAUCAUAUCCCACAUCACCUGAUUUGCUAAAUUAUUUAGCAUUUGCCAGUUGUGUAAUUUGGAAUGAAUUGAUGCGAGUGAUGCAAGUUAAAGUUAAAAAGGUAUUAGUUUGCUUCUGUUGUUUCUAAGUUGCAAGACAGCCCAAGCUAUUUUUUUUCCUUUCAAUAAUAUGUAUAUGUGUUUAACUUCCACCGAUUUCACUUUCUGUAGAAGAACAGAGAUGAACGAAAAGAUUUUGGGGGUGGGGGUAGACAUGCAGAGGAGGAAGAAGGAAAAAAAAACUUCUAGAACGUUAAGUUUAGGUGUUAGUCAAGUUAGGGUUUUUUUAUAAUUAUUUUUAAUUAAGAGUAAAUUGAGUUUUUAUUUUACAGUUAGAUGUGUCCAAUUUAUAUCCCUUAGAUUAAAUUUUAAUAAGGUGGCAUACAGAGAACAAAAGUAAAGUAGAUUAUGACAGAUAAAAUCAGAGCAGAAGAUUGGAUCUUUUUGGUGAGGGGGUUGAAGAGCAGAAAAACUUAUUUGCAAAUAGCAUUGUUUUGCUAUCCCCAGCUAAUAAUUGUUUGAUACGUUGAAAAGUUAUUCCAAUUGUCAUUGCAUUAUUGGCCGGGAAUAGCAAAAAGUGAUAUCUCAGUUGCAUGAAAGUGUUUCUCUUCAAUGAGGGUUUCAAUUCAACCAUUCAAUCAUUAAAACAGUUUCAAUCCCAUAGACAUGGGUUUAGCGAAGUUCGUCAGAGUGGAGGUGCUCCCUACUAGAUCUGUACCCAAGUUAAAAUCCCUCUCCCUAUAGUUUAGAUUAGUUUACAGUAAAAUAUCGCUUGUAAAAAAUAAAAAAAAAGUUAUUUUAGGGAUUAAUAAUUGUCUUCUUUUUCUGAUAAAUUAUUUUUAUACAUGUGUCAAAAUGUUAUCUACAUAAAAGAGAUACAUUAUCCAAAAAUAAUAAGGUGAGAUAUAGUCGUGGAUUAGAAUGCAUGAUAUAUAGUAUAUAUAUAUAUAUAUAUCUUCACCUUGAAAUGUAUAUAAUAUGUGCGAUGAUAGGGUUGUAGAUAAAUAUCUAUAUAAGUGUUCUAAAUUGCGAUGAUAAAGUUUGGAUCCAUUAAUAUACAUUCUUGUCUUGUAGGUAGCACAAAGUGACACGAAGAGGGGACAUAAACUUGUGUAUUAUUAUUGCUUUGUUUACUCUUAAAUCGUCAUUAUGUUAGCUUUGAACUUCACUUUCGGUCACAUGCGCCAAUUUCAGGUCUUUUUGGUACAACUUUAAUUCUCAGUAUUAAUCAACACCUAGAUUCCUUUUAGGUGGAGAACACUCCAUUAUCUAUAGCCCUCAAAUUUGUAGUAUAGUGUGCCAUUUUGGCCUUUUCCAACACAAAUACUACGCAUAUUUGUCAAUUACGACCAUACAUUUUGGACAUUAUUCUAGCAACGAGUUCAAGGCAUUUGGAUUAGUUUUAUAAAAAUAUUAAAAUCAAUCGUAUACACACGUACAUGUUGACUCUGACUGUCGAUGUUUUAUGUAUCAAAAUGAUGUAUUAAUGUGACAGAUUUCUCUACUUGAUGGAUUGAACAUGAUCUCACUGCCUCAAACGUUGUGUUUAAUCUCCUUGGCCUUCCCUGCCCCAUUUGAAUCACAAGAAAUUUUUGGUGCUCAGGAAAUUUAUCAAGCAUGACAUAACAGUACUUGCACUUGCAUUUCAUUUUUAGUAUUUAAAAACAUGAAAUAUUUAAGAAAUAGAAUAAAAAGGAAGUUUGAAACAGACAAGAAUAUUCGAAAAGAUAUUGCAAUAUAUGCAUAGGAUAUAUUCGAACGAGCAUGUCGGGACAUUUGUCCAUAGAAAUUUAUUAUUGUUGAGAAAUUGAUUGACGGGUAGUGAAGUUUUGUCUUUUUUCCGUCUUAUGUUCUCUUGCUGCGUGAGAUUCUGAGAGAGAAAGAGAGAGAAGGGUCGACAAACUCAAAGAUUGGUGCAAAUGUAGAGUACCAUUAUAGAACUUUCCACUCUUUUCAUAAUUAUGAACACCUUGAAACUGAUGGAUCCCCGGUGAUAUGGUUUUGGAUAUCCAUCUAAAAAUAUUCCAAGAUAUUUGUAAAAUAAUGUGACACUAACAAGUUUUGAACUGUAAAAUUAAUCGAUCGAUUCUUUUUGUCCGUCUUGAUUUAACCAUUGUACAAGUUAAUUUUGAAAUUAAUUGAGAAUACAUAAUACGAGGCGAGGAUUUAUCCUCGACCUUAAAAAAUGUUAUACCAAGUGAGCAUAUUUUUCUCAUCAUUCGUUUGAUUACUCUAACAUGUCCUCACUAUGGCAGCUUUGGACUUCAUUUGGGUCACAUGUGACCACUUCCAACUCUACGGCUUGUUUGUGCAAUGUCCUCACUCAAAUCAAGAAGUGAUGAAUAUUUUCAUCGUUUGUGCUAGGUGGGGACUCUCUCUUGUAUUUUUUAUCACCUAAUCCCUUGGCCUUUUUUCAGCACAUGUGCUUUGUCGAUGUAAAUAAAAAAAGGAAAAUUUUCCCAACAUGAUAUAUUGAUGUGAUUCAACAUGACAUAUUGAACUUGAUCUGAUCACCAUCGCAAUAGUUAUCUAUAUCUUCCUGUUGAACGCAUGCAAUAUGCUUUAUACAUUUACAAAAGGAAUUUUUCAUUCUCAUUUCUUGAGAAAUGACAUAAGAAAUGAUUUCUCCUCAAAUUCAUUCAAUGAAUCAAACAGGGCUAAGACCACUUCAACUCAUCUCUUAAAUCGCUUUUGCCCUUUUGGUAUUUUCCAACACAAAGUAACAUAAGAGCAAUGAUUACGAUUCUUAAUUAAGGAAAAUUCCUAACAUGAUGUGAUUUGAUGCGAUAGAGUGGCGCAACAUGAGAGAUAGUGAACUUCCAUCUUAUCACUAUCUCUAUGAUUUGUCUAUUUUUCUAUUCCCUUACACGGAUUAACAAAGUACAAAACGACACAGUACUUUUCUAUUUUUCUAGGCAUGCAAUACGACAAAUAUACCAUAUUUAUAUUCAUAAUUAAAUAACUAAACGUGUUUCAACUCACAUCUUUUGAUUAAAAUACAGAUCAAAACAUCUAUAACUCCUACAAUUUUAAAUCACGCCACCAACCACCAAUGUUAUACUGAAGCAACUAAUGAGUGUCUAAAGCCAUCCCUUUCUUCCAAUUUCAAUAUACGCUAAUUAAUUUCUAGCGUCCAAGCCAUCCUUUUCUUGCAAUAUAUUAUAUAUUUGAUUUUGGGGAUAUCCAUAUGGAUGUUUGUGAAAAUUUCAUUCUAGGAGAAUAUUCGCGGAUGAAUAUUUUCUUUCAAACGUUCUUUCCUUGUAACUUCUUUUUUUUCCAUUUAUAGAGGGAAGAGAGUUAUUCCUUUCCUGAUUAAUGGAGUUGAGGGAAAUUAUGGAAGAAAAUAAAUAGUUAAGAAAAUAUAUGAAAUUUAUUCCCUCAACUUAAAUUGAUAACCUAUAUUAAAUAUACUAGCCUCUUCGCACACGCUUCCGUGCCCGCGUAAAACUUAAAAAAUAAAAAAUAAAAAAUAUUUUAGAAUUAGAAAAAAUAAUGGGUAGUUGUGUUCCAUAAAAAUAAGAUUCAUUAUCUGAUUUUUCUUUCAAUUUUAAUUUUUAAAAAUAAGAAAUGUGUAAAUUUACCAUAUUAUCUUUAUUUAAUUAAUAAUUUUAAUUCUUAAUAUUUGAAUUAACAAAUGAUAUUUUUUAAUAUUUUAAAUAUUUCAUCAUUCUCUGUCUUUUACUUUAUAUAUAUAUAUAUUAUUAAAUUAAAAAAUGUAAAUUUAAAUAACUUCUCUAUCAAAUUUAAAUAAUACAUUUUAGGAUUUGUCUUGUAAAAAAUUAAAUAUUUUAAAUUUUAAAUAAUACAUUUUAGGAUUUGUGUGAAAAAAUUUGUCUUCGUUUUCACACGACGCCCGACGUCGAAUUUAUUUGCUCUCACAAAAGAAUCCAGACGUCGAAUUUAUUUGCUCUCACAAAAGAAUCCACUGAUAUAGUAAUUUGAAUUAAUUGCUCCCCCAACAACAUCCUAAGCUAGUGAUUUAAACUAAAUACUUCCCGAUAAAAUCCCGAAUUCUUACUCUCGACAAGGUCCUGAGUUUGAAUCCCAGUAUUCAUAUCUGAUCCUAAACUAAUGAUUUGAACUAAAUACUCCCCACUGAUAUAGUAAUUUGAACUAAUUGCUCCCCCAACAACAUCCUAAGCUAGUGAUUUAAACUAAAUACUUCCCGAUAAAGUCCCGAAUUCUUACUCUCGACAAGGUCCUGAGUUUGAAUAUCAAUAUUCAUAUCUGAUCCUAAACUAAUGAUUUGAACUAAAUACUCCCCAACAAAAUCCCGAGUUCUUGCUUCCGACAAGAUCUUGAAUUUGAGUUUUAACAUCCGAAUCUGUGUUGUAUAUAUGAAUUUAAUUUAGUUUGAAUUCUAACAUCCGUAUCCGUGUUGUGUAUUUGUUGUGUGUUUGAAUUUAAUUUAGUAUAAUAUCGCUCCUUUCAAUAAAAAAAAGUCCUAACAAAAGUUAGGGUUGUCGGGUCAAGGUUAGCAUAUCAUCAUCGGAUAUUCCGAUCGACCCAUAGAUACUUGGGUUAAGUUGGGCUUAAACUCACUUGUGGCCCAAAUGAACUAAAGAACGCAAAAUACUAUUUCCUUUCACAACACACGAGUGAUGAGUCAAGGGUCAUGUAAGAUGUUAUACAUCAGAAGGCAGAGCUUAAGUAGCUUAAAAACAAAAACAAAAACAAAAAAUACCCAAAAUACGACACAAAAAAACAAAAGCACGACACCACCAUUACAAGGUCAGCUUCACACUACACAUCGUGGACGCGAUCACAUUUUACCCGGGCUCUCCACCCUCACUUUUCCGUCGUCAUCAAUGUGCACCUCCACGCGCGCUUUUCCUCCAUCCAAACGACCCACGUCGUUGAAAUUUUGACCAUGCAUCUGGUCAGACGAAUAGAGCUUACCCGCCACCUCACCUGGCCUGGUCUCCGCCACAUCAACCUCCUCCCUCUCCACAACAUCGGUUGGCUGAGUUAACUUGCUUUUAAUGGCACCGGUCACUCCGCCAAAUGAGCUCAAUAUAUUUCCCUUGGCUGCCUUCCCUUUCUCAGCCUCAAUGUCACGUGCCUCACGGGAUCUACCACCAGCUUCGUCCUUGUACUCUUUCCCUUCCACCUUCAAUUCCUCCAUCUUUCUCCUUGCUUCCUCCUCAGUCUCGCUCAACUUCUCCUGCAUAUAUUUAACAAAACUCGACCAAUCAGACUUUGUUAAUAUGGAAAUGAAAGAAAAUAUAACACAUUUGUGCAACACAUUUUUCAAAUAUAUAUGAAUACGAGAAUGAACGAUUAUUCUUUAUUACCUUGGUUUUCUCUGCAGUCUCGUAAGUUUUCUCUUUUGUUUUCUCAGUAGUGUCGGCAGCCUUAUCUUUUGUUUGCUCUGCAGUCUCCGCAGCCUUCUGCUUGGUCUCCUCUUUCUUACCAGACAAGUAGUCCAUGGCUUUUCGAGCAGCGCCGGCAGCCGUGUCCUUCAGCUCGCCCAACUUACUCACAGUCGUGUCCUUCCCUUCUUUUGCUUUCUCAUCUGUGUAGUCCUUGGUCUCAUUGGCCUUCUCGGCUGUUGUGUCUUUGGCCUCCUUGGCCUUCUCCGCAGCAUAAUUUGUAUACUCGCUUGCUUUCCCAACAGUCGUGUCUUUAGCAUCCUUUGCUUUCUGCAUUGUUGCGUCUUUUGCCUCCUUUGCUUUCUCAGUGGCAUAGUUUGUAUACUCACCAGCUUUCCCCAUUGCCGAGUCUUCCGUCUCCUUCGCCUUCUCGGCGGCCUCCUUAGCCUUUUCAGCAGCAUAAUCCUUGGUCUCUUUUGUCUUGUCAGCAGCAUAACCUGUAUAAUCGCUUGUUUUCCCCAUUGUCGUGUCCUUUGCCUCCUUGGCCUCUUGAGCUGCUGCGUCCUUAGUCUCCUUGGCCUUCUGUGCUGCAUAACCAGUAUACUCACUUGUUUUCCCCAUUGUUGUGUCCUUUGCGUCCUUGGCUUUUUGAGCUGCCGUGUCCUUUGCGUCCUUGGCUUUUUGAGCUGCCGUGUCCUUUGACUGUUUCGCCUUCUCAGCCGCGGUACCCGUGUACUCAUUUAUCUUCUCCCCCGCGGCGCCCGUGGUCUCUUUGGCCUUCUCUUCAACAUGACUUUCAUCGUGGCUUUUCCCCACCACAGCAUCCUUCGCUUGCUCUAGCUUCCCGGUCACCGUCUUCAGCACCGACCCGAUCACCCCAGGCUUCUCUUCAUGCACUUGCUCUGCUGGCCUCCCCAGCUCAUCGUUAGGCGUAUAAGUAGUCUCAAUCUUUGUUUUUUCUUCAUAGACUUGGCCUUUGUUCACGUCUCUCAACUCAUCCGCUGCGAGCCUUGCUGCGGCCUCGGCUCUCUUCUCCUUGGCUUGCCUCGACGCCAUUGAAACACUCCAAAUUGCACUCAAAAAUUUCACACAGAACUUUAUCACUGUAUGUUUGCUUUCGAGUCUUCGAUUUUAUUUUAUUUUUUCCUUUUGGUACAUGAGAAGGUGAGAGGUGGCCUAGUAGUAUAUAUAAUUGGUGGAGUUUUGAGAAGGUGACACGUGGAGCCCGAGCGCGGUGUAAAUUGCUACGUGGUAUUGUGGGACGAGACUUCAACACGUCGACUUGCAUGCAAAGGGAUGAAUGGCAGUGUGGGACCUGAGAACUUUCGGGGCUCAUGUCGGUGGGUUUAGGAAGGGCUAGGUCCUUGGUCUUUUCUCUUUUGAUAUGGUUGCGUUCCACGGGUUCUGCCAGGUGGCGAAUUGGGCUUGCUUUGGGUUCUUUGAUCGAUUUCCUCGGGUGGAUAAGUUGUUUUUAGCACAUUUUGUAUUGAGUUGUUCUUUGCUCGGGUGGAUAAGUUUUGGCUAAGAAGAAUGUAGAGUUCUAAUUGAACUUCCAUUUGGUCUAUAAAUCAGGACAAAUUAAUACGGCGUCGGUCGGCUUGGAAUGUAGAUAAAACCCAGUCUAAUUAGAUUGCCCAAUAAAGCCCAAUCCAACAAGCUCUAUUAAUUCUACGUUUUUUAUUCUUUCUUUUUUGAUCAAUUGCUCUAUUAGUUCAACUUAAUCACCUAUUAUUUGUCUACUUUUAAUAAAUUUAUACCCAACCCGGAUAUGUGACUCUAGUGCAUCAUGCAUGAUGAAUUCCUUUUAACAUGCAAUUGUGACGCUAUAAAAUGUCAUAUAGAAACUGUUUAUGCAAAAUGUUUGUUUAUCCAUGUUAUAAAAUUGUCUACAAGUUUCAAAAUGAAAAUGGGUGCACAUGUCUAUAUUUAUAUAUUGAGAUACUGGAGAAAAUUAAAAUAUGGAAGUAAUAAUGAAGAAGUGUAUACGUUUGUAGUUUUUGAGUACGAUUGUCGUAUAAAUAAAGAUAUAUCCAAAAUAGAGCCAAAGAAGGCAGAGAUGGAAGUAAAUAAUAGAGAUUAGAUAACAUAUUAUUAGGAGGCAGAGAUGGAAGUAAAUAAUGGAGAUUAGAUAACAUAUUAGUUUCUUAUUAAUCCAAUUAUAUGAAAGCAAUACAAUCAUUGUGACUGUCAUCUUUUAGAAUUGAAUUAGUUAGAAUUAUGUUUGAAUUGAAUUAGUUAGAAUUAUGUUGGGUCCUAAAUCAAAGUUGAGAUUUAUACUUGGUGCAUGUAAUUCUAGAGAUAGCACAUCUCCUAAUAAAAUCACUCCAGCACAUUGUGUCAAAGUCUCAUUAUUAAUGGAAGUCCAAGAAAGUAACACCACAAAUUCACGGAAGCCAACAGCUAUUUCUUCUUUUUCUUAUGAAAAAUGGGUUGUCCAAAAAGAAUUGGUAAUGGUACUUUUAUAGGGACUUUAUAAAAUCAAAACACACACAGAAAAGGAAAACCUACCGAAUGUAAUUUAUUUCUCACUUGUUACAAAUUGAAAAUCCCAGAACAAGAAAAGAAUUUCAUCCCUUAUAGACAGGCAUACAUCACAAACCUCAACCAAUUACUUAAAAGGUCUUAUUGAUCAUCAUGCACUCUGACAUUCAAUCUUCUGAGCCAUAUAGAAUGGAGGAUCAUAUGGAACACAUCAAAUCGCUUGGGAGGAGAAUUGACCUCGAAAUGCCUCCUUACUUGUACCACUCUCCUCUGCAUUCUUAUGUACUGCUUUGUAGAAAUGCUCAUUAGUAUGUUCUUCAAAUUGGGAAUUUCACUCACUUUAACCUCCACAGAGAAAGACUUCCAGUUCAAAACAUCACUGAAUGGUGGCACAUAAUGGUCUGAAAUCAGCACAGGAACACACCCAGUGUAAAUUGCCUCCACUACCCUUGGGCUUGCAACUUCAUAUCCACUUGGGCAGAGGCAGAACUUGCUAUGUCUCAUCAUGUCAUAGUAAGAAAUACCCUUUGGAAGGUACUGAUGCACCCGUAAAUCCUCGUCCUUGUUCUCCCAAUGCUCUAGCAGCACCGGCCUAAUAGGGCCGUGAACCCCUCCGGCAAAGAAAGCUAGGAUUGAGCGUAGCCUUGGAGAAGGCCCGCCAAGAAACCCAUGUGUGUCACCAGUUUGAAGAUUGAUUUCUGGAAAGGAUACAUCCUUAGAGGGGUUGAACCCUUCUGAGGUAUUUGCAUUGCAUAAAACACGAAUGGAGUUUUUUCGAAGAUGAGGAUCUGAGUUUGAAGUUUCUGGCCCCUAAAACAUAAUCCAAGUAAUUUAAAUCAGAAUGUUAUAUUGGUUUAGCUAGUAUUUGUGCUACAUUACAAUUUGACGGUAAUUAAUAUUAGGUAGUAAGAGUAACAUACCCAAUCAUGGCAAGCAAGCAUAAAGUGAUCAGCUCCAAGGCUUCGGUUCCAAUAGGGAUAUUUUCCAGAGACAAUAUUGACAUAGUCUCUUACUGUUUGUCUAAUGGGACCAAAAUCAUGUGAGUCACGCACAUACACAAAGCGGACCAACAUUGUCACGCUGAAAGGAAGAAAAUAAACAUGUGCUUUCUCAGGGUCGCGGGUCCGAAAUUGCUUAUUCACCUCAAUUUCAUGGAUAAAAUUCCCCUCCAUUGAAUAUAUGCUCUUGCAAGGGCCGUUAUGAAACAAGGGGGGUUCCCCUUCUCCAUAAACAAAAACCUUGAACCGUUUCUCCAUCUCCAAGUAGCUCCUGUAAUUUCAAAGGGGCACUAUCAAUGAGAUAACAUGUUCGAAAUAAGAGCAAUUAGCCAUCCCUUGGUAUACAAUUUGUGUCACAUCUUUAAAGUUGCAAAAUACAUGUUUGUAACAAUGAAAGAUUGAAACACCCAAUUGGCCUUCUCAAUAGUAACCCACAAAAUUAUUUGAUAAUUAAGACUCAAAUACGGAGUAGGUACCUUUGAAAGGCAUUGGCAUUCCAAUACAUGGGACCAUUUGGAAUGUAGUCCACAUCUUGUGUUUGAUUUCCAAAUUUAGCUUCUCUUAUGGCAGCUCGAGCUCUUCUAAGGCGGGCCUCCAGCCACCCUAAAUUAGUAUUUUUUCGUUGUCCUUCAGCCUUCAUUAUAGAAACAUGCGUCUCAUUCGCGUAGUCGUCUUGCCUUGUACCAUUCUGUUGAACUGAUUAAUUGUUAGAUUUACCAUCUCUUAAUCAAUUAUUUAAUAUCUAAUCUGCUCUCAUAUAAAAAAUCUAUACAAGAAUCAAAUUAUUGCUCAGACAAAGAGCAACCGCUGGAAGACAAAAGAAUGUGACCCCAUUAAUAAGUUUGGAACAUUUACGUGGGGCAGUACUUAAUUAGUAGAAACUAAACACGUAAUGAGUAGAUAUACAAAAGCACAAAGAGUGUCGUAAAGGGUCUAAGCAAUUAAAUUCAUUUAUUAUUUCUCAAUUAAAUCAUUCACCAAAACGAGAGGUAAUAGGGAAAGGGACAUUGAACUGUGACAGCAAGCAACUUCUACGGAAACCUAAAACAUGUCAAAAUGCAUCAACAUAUAUAUAUAUAUAUGUAUGUAUUUCCUCGAUCCUAAUAAAAAGUUUAAGAAAAAUUAAUUUAAUUAUGCAGUCAAUUUGGAAAUGCAUAUUUUUUCUUUCUUCCUGCAAAAGAUUUUUUCCUUAGACUUGUAGGUCAAAGAGCAGCCAGCCAAAAAUUACAGAAAAUUCUAAAAGUAUGGGCCAAGCCGAAUUCUUUGUUUUGAUUUAAUGUAUUUUUCUUACCCCAUAAAGAAAAAUAAAUUAAUUCUUGAAUUAUUUUCAAUGAAAAAAGCAAAAGCAUCAACAAGAAUAUGGCAAGAACAAGCAAGCAAUCAACUCAAAAAUGAAGCCCAUAGAAAAUAGGAAAAGAAAUUGUAAAUGCAUGUGUAGAAAGUGGAGCUCUCUUACGGGUUGUGCAAGUGUUGGUGGAACAGCUGCUUCAAUGGAGAGUGGAGGAGAAGAAGAUCGAUUUUCAAGAGAGUCAUCCGAGUGAGCUUCUUCUAUGCUGUGCAUAUCCACCACAACAACCGACGAUCUCAACCCCAAAACGUCAUCGUUUAGGGGAGGAAACUCUGAAGAAGAAUUUGAAGCACCGGUCAAGUUCAGAGAGGGGCUGGUGCUCUGUGAGCUCCAUAGCCAAGGGUAAGAAUUAGAUAUGAAAACCCAGUUGGAGGUUUUUGGACCCAACAAAGAAACCAACCCAAAAACCACAACCAAUGGAACUACAAACAAGAAGAUGGCCAUUGAUGAAGCUGAAGAAGAACAUGCAUAUUGAUUGCCCCAUCUUUUGCUGCUAUUGGCCAUCAAGUUUUGAGGUAGCUAGCUAAAGGAGAGAUUCUUAAACUAGUUUAGGAAUAGCUUCUGAUUCAGAAGCUGCCUUGUUUGUUUGCUGAGAAAGUGGGAGAGUUUUGGGGUUUUUAUUUUCUGGUAGGGAGAAGACAACAUUUGGUAAUAAAUGGUUGCGUCUUCACGCCAAGCGUCCUCUUAUGCUGCCCUCUAUUUCCGAGUUCCUCAUGCAACUUUUGUGUUUCCCAUUUUGACCUUUUCGAAUUUUUCCAUCUAAUUUUCUACUACCUCCCACCGAUAAGUUUUAUUUAAUUCCCACCUUUCUCAUCUCGCCAUUACACUCGCCGUUUGCUGCACCCACGCACGAGGGCACAUGAUGUAAGACUCCCAAGGUGAGUAUUUAUGAAGCAAGUAAUAAUAAUAAUAAUAAUAAUAAUAAUAAUAAUAAUAAUAAUAAUAAUAAUAAUAAUAAUAAUGUUGAUGAAGUGAACCCGUGUAAUUAUCCAGCUCAAGAAUAAAUAUAAUGACGAAGAGCUUAAAAAGGAAGAAUAUCUACUAUUAAUGAACAAAAGAAAUAUCUCCAACUGAGGAACAUCCACAGUAUGAGGGAAACUUUGUUAAUUAUACAAGCAUCAACGUAACUUAUAGCCCUAAUGCCCUCACUAAUAACACCAUAGAGUGACGAUUAAAAUUGACAUAUCAUAAUACUUAAUUUCAAAUGUUAUUUUACGAAAUGUCAAAUUGCCACCAUAACAAAAUAAUUCAUUUUAGUAAUUAGUAAAUGCACACAUUAUACCCACACACAACACAACACACUUUUUAUUUUAAAUACAGCAAAUUUCAGAUAAUUUUCGAUUGUACAAAAGAAUAAACGUAUUUAUGUUUUCUUGGACUGUGGCAAGUACACUCUUAUCUUAUGCUGCUUCUUUCUUUUAUUAAUUUCCUCUUUUUAAAUAGGAAUAUUUGAUGCUUCUCAUUCUCAAGCAAACUAAAAUAAAAAGAAAAAGCCAACAAUAAGGGACUCAAGUUAAAAUUUGCCCUUUAAUCUUACUGCAUCUAAUUCGUCGUGUAGCAAAUCGUAGCAUCUAAUUCUCAAAAGGCCAAAGCCUAACCGCACGAAAAUCACGUAAGAAAAUUUGUACAUCAGUGAAGAAGAAGAAGAAGAUGACACAUUUGUUUGGUCUUAUGUAUUGUUGUUAAUUAUUAUUUUGUUAUUAAGGUGGCCAAAGCUGCCCGCAUUUGCUGUUGUUUAGUUGUUGCUUGUUAUGGAUAAUGAGCAGAAGCUCAAGGCCAUGGCAGAGAGAGAGAGAGAGAGAGAGAGAGAGAGAGAGAGCAACUCCAAAGGGAAGGGCAAUAAGGUCUUUUCGAUGUUGUUUAGCUGUUGCUGUUGGGCCUCGUGAGUCGACACCUCUCAUUUACUUCUGCAACGGGCGACGUCAGAAGUCUAGGCUUUUAUUUCCCUUUUCUUCCCCUUCUAAUCUCUCUCUUUGUUUCUUUUCUUUUCUUUUCUUUUCUUUUUGUUGUUUGUCACUUGCUUAAUGUAUGGGUUUCCCUCCCGUUUUAUUCUAAUAUUUUCGGGGCUGCGUGUACCCGUGUGGUUUCUGUUAAAAAAAGAAAAAAAAACUGCAUGCAACUUGAAAGUAGGAAACUGAGCUAAACUUUCAAAGGGGCAGAGGUUAAUUUUGAAAGGAAGUAAUGAAAUUGGAUUGGUUAACUUUUGGUUAAGUCUUCCAAGGCUGCUUAUAAUAAAGAAGAAUUGCUACUAUGAAAAGUAUCAACGUGGUUAGCAAUAGACGUGAGGGAACAACUCACCUAUAAACUAUACAUACAUGUAUAUAAUUCAUUAAUAUAUAUGGUAUAGGGUUUAUUAAUUUCACAUUUCUUAAUUUUUUUAAUAAAUAAUAUGGUCGCACGGAUAUACAUUUUAAGUGUAUAUAUAUAUAUAGUUAGUCUUCUUCUAUUGAGGGAUCCUUCAAAUAAUUUUAUUUGAGGGACACCAUUUAGGGUCUCCUACAAAUACUUUUUCAACGAUCCAAACUAUCUAUUUUUAAGUCUACAUUCAUAGACCAUCCUUGGAAAAAAAUAGACAAAUCGGAAACCGUCUUAAUAUCCAAUUGUGUCCUACCAAAUAAUGAACACGAUGCUUAAAAAAGUACUAUAAUUUCAAUAAUUCAAUUGAGUGAUCAAAUGAUAUCGGAUUCAAGUGAUUUUUUGUAGAGAUGAUCUUUGAAUGAGUAUCUACAAAGUAGAUGGUUUGGAUUAGUAAAAUACAACACGGAGUGAGUCCUAAAAUGGUGUCCCUCAAAUAAGUAUAUUUAAGGAAUCCCUCAAUAGAAGCUCCCUAUAUAUAUAUAAAGAAUCCCAGUAGAACCGUGCAACUGUAUUAUUUAAAUAAAUAAAUAAGGACCGCCUAAUAGCGCAUAGGGUAUAGGGUUUAGAGUUUAGGCGGGUCCUUUUUUAUUUAGAUUUUUUUUAAAGAGUAGAGCUGCAAAAAAAAUAAUAAAUAAAUAAAUUAUGCAGUAAGAACUAAGAGCAUGAAAAGCACCAUUGCUCAACCUGAUCUGCCCUUAUCAGUUAACACUGGAUGUGGGAGUUUUAGGACUCAUACACAGGGUAUCUUUACUCAAAAUUGAUAUGAUUUUGAAAAAUCAUUAGACUGAUAAAUCUUAACUUUGCUCCUAAGUAGUGGCGGAGGCACUUAGGGACUAGUGCAGUCACUAACCCCCACUGAACUUUUAUUAAAAAAAAAAUAGUACUAGUAUUAGGAGUCUAGCUACAUAUUUAAAAGCCAUAUAGAUAUGGGCCCAAGAAGAUUUCAGCCAAAGAAGUUAAGUCAUAAUGGCGUGGUCCAGUAGAUUUUAACGUGGGCCAGCUAAAUAUCCUAAAAUUAUACACUACCCAUUUCUAAAAGGAUUAGAAUUAUUAUUAUUAUUAUUAUAUAUUGCCUUCUAGUAUAAAUCAAUAAACCUAAGCCUUUUUAUCUUUUCUUGGGUCAGAAACACGACCAGACCAACCAAUCUUUACUUGAUCAAGUUUCUUUCUUUUGUGGCAAGUAUCAUAUUGAAAUUACUAAAAUGAUUGAUAUUUUUUCCAGUGGAGGGAGACCAAAAUGUAAAGCUCAGCCCAUCACAAACUUACAUCAUUAUUGUGUUGAUUUAUUCAUUGAUGUCAUUGAUAUUCAGCUCUGAGAGUUAAAUGAUCGGUUCAAUGAGAAGAAUACUGAAUUACUUCUUUGUAUGGCAUGCUUGAGUCCAAGUAAUUCAUUCUCUGCUUUUGAUAAAGCAAAGUUGAUGCCAUUUGCCCAAUUUUAUCCAAGUGAUUUUUCUGAGCAUGACCCCAAAUUACUCGAAGAACAACUUGAGAAUUACAUUUGGGACAUGAGCUCUAACAAUGAAUUUACAAAAUUGAAAGGGAUAACUGAUAUUGCGCAAAAGAUGGUUGAGACAAAAAAAAGAUCAGAUAUACCCUUUAGUGUACUUGCUUCUGACACUAGCACUAAUCCUACAUGUUGCGACCACAAGUGUAGAGCGAGUAUUUUCUGCUAUGAAUAUUGUGAAGAAUCGAUUACGCAAUCGAAUGGGGGAUUUGUGGAUGAAUGAUUGUUUGGUUGCAUAUAUUGAGAAAGACAUUUUUAAUAGUAUAGAUGACGAGGUUGUUAUGCAACGAUUUCAAAAUAUGAAAACUCAUUGAGGACAAUUAUGACUGUAAUGAAUAGACAAUAUAGAAAAUAUGAUUUUUGAUAUUUUGAUGUCUUGUGAGUUCAAAGUUUUUAUUAUUUAUAUUUUGUGAGAGGCCCCCAGACACAUAAAAUCUUGGCUUCGCCAUUGCCCCUAAGUACCCUUAUGCUCAGGAAAGACAGUUAACAUAGAGAGGUUACGCUGGAAGCAAAACAUAAGCUUUCUAGUUUAAGAGUUUGCAAAUACGGGUGCCCUAGCAAUUUUGAAAUUUUGUGGCCUACUUCCAUUAGUUUAUACUUUAUAGUUAUUAAUUUACUAGUUUCAACAUAUCCAAAGUAGAUAUUCAAAAGAAAUAUUUCAUAGGAAAUCAAUAUGAGAGUUUAAUUUUCCUUCUCCUUUUUCUUUCCAUGGGAAUGUUUGCCUUUGAUUUACCUCGUUCUCUCGAGUGCUACUAAAUUAUGUUAAUGCACACAUUAUUUGUGGUACAUAAUUGCAUGCUAAGUUAGAGUGGUCUUGGUAAUUGCUUUACUUUUCAAACAACAGUUUACAUGAACAAUACUACCACCUCUCUUACUACCAUACCCAUAAAGUUUUGUUUGAAAAUUUUCUUUUGGCUGGCAAAGAGAUUGCGAAAUCACCAUCUUGCAUUUAUCUUACAACAAGUAAGAAAUAGUCUUAGCCGCUCAAAUUCUUUCGUAGUCAGUUAAAUACUGAACGUGGAAAAUACAAAUAAAAUACAUAUUCGGAAAUUUUUUGGCAAGUUACAAUUGAAAAGUUCGGUAACUAUAUAAUAUUUUAAUUCAAUAAUAUGUGAAAAUUAUGUGUAUAAUACGUGAAUGUUUUGUGUAUUAUUGAAAAUUUUAUAACAAAAUAUGUGUAUUAAACAUGAAAAAUAUGUACAUACGUAUAUUGUAUGUUUACUUUUUGAAAAACGUGUAUUUUACCGAGUAUUAAACACUAAAAUGCUAAAUUCUUUAUACAAGUAAUAACUUUGAAAAAGUACAAAAUUAAAAUGGUACAAUAGAGACUCGGGUAAUGGUCUAAUAGUAAUAGAUAAUGCUCUAAACUACUCUUAUCAUAAAGGAGAAUUAGGAAAAAAAAUUAUUAAAAAAAAGGAUGCCAGUACAUAUUUAAAGAGUAUAGCCGCGCAACUAUACUAUUAUUUAAAAAAAUAUUUGAACUCUAUAAAUAGAACAUUUCAUAAGUAUAGCCGAACGGCUAUAUAAAUAGAAUUUUUUAAACGUAUAGCCGCGCGGCUAUCCUUUAUAAACAUAAUUUUUUUGCGUACAGCCGGGCGGCUGUACUGCAUAAAUAGCAUAUUUCACAGGUAUAGCCGCGCGUCUUUACUCUAAAAUAGAAGUUUUUAAAUGUAUAGCCGGGUGGCUAUACUAUAUAAAUAGCAUAUUUCGUAAGUAUAGCCGCACGGCUGUACUUACGAGAUUGCUUGUUUUGACUUUUGCUCUUCUUCCAAUCUUUUGCUUGUCCUCCAAAGCCAUGGAGGUUUCGUACGAUGGAAGAGAGAAGAAUAAUACCAUCUGAUUCAAUCCAUUAUCCACGAAGUACAUUUGAUGCAUGUGUUCAUUUCUUUUCUUUUUUAAACAAAAAAAAUAAAAAUAAAUCUGAAUGAGUUUUAUCUUAAUAAGUAUUUAUUUAUUUAUUUUUGCAUGUAGAUGUGACCGGAUUUGAUUCACAAAGCGAAAGAAGGUGGUCUCAACUCAAUACUAUUGAGACUUACGUUUUUUUCUGGAAUUUUCAUGAGCCUCAACAACGUCGUCAGGUUUUCUUAAUUAGUUUUUCUGGAUUAGUUUCUUUUUCGUUUAUGAGGUUAAUUCAUUUUCUAAGCACAAAUUUUAAGGUUUCUUUUUGCUUUUGUAGUAAGAUUUUUCAGGAAAUCAUGAGCUGGUCCGAUUCAUUAAAGAAAUCAGCGAAGGAGGGCGCCGCGCGCAAAUAAAAAAAGAACAGUGAAAUAUGAAAUCGAUUUUUAGUGAAAUGAUUAUUAAACAGGCUAGUUGCUGAAGAAUGAAUGGUUUGGUUUAGAAAUUAGACCAUGAAAAAGUGAUUUGAUUUGUUUGUCAAUUGGGCUUUAUCUAUUUUCUGCCAACACUAUUCGGAGGUUCACUUACUCGAACUCUUGUAAUUCAAUUCUACUGGAAAAUUACACUUUCUAAAUACAAACAUGUUACAAUUCACAAAACCUCUUAAUUGGCUACCAAAAAGAUGAGGCAACCAUAAGUCACCAGUAAUCUUUGCAUGAGCACUGACCACUAGAAAAAUAAUGUACUCCUGAAGCAUCCCUUACAUAUAUUGUUCUUCUGGUGACAAUAGACAUGUAUUUCAAGAAUGUAUGGCAGUCUCCACAUAGAAGGAUGUUCUUCACGAUCCGAACUGGUUUUCCUGGCUUGCUGGUCAGAAGCCCGUAGGUCGCUGCUAGUUUUGCGCUGUGAUAGUACAAGAAAUCCUUCUUCUGGUGCUCUUCUACUUCCUGAAGAACAAAGCUUGUGUCCGGCACAUAACCAGCUUUUAGACAUUCUAAGAUCAGUAUUUCUAGUCCACUAUAUAUGUCUUUUGCUUGGGGAUGAGAUUUAUCUCUUGCAUAGAAUGGAUGUAUCUUCUUGUUAUGAAUGAUCCAACUUUGACCUGGGUGCUUCCGGAAUCCCUUUUUUCUCAUUUUAUCCCUAACCAUUUCAGAGCAAUGCCAUCUCCCAGAUGCUGAAUACAGAUUCGAUACAAGUAUGUAGGAAGAUGGAUCUUUGGGCUCCAUGGCAAGUAUACGUUUCACCACCCUUUUGCCAACUGUUGUAUUCAUACGGAGUCUACAACUAUCAAGCAAAGCUCGCCAAACAGAAACCUCAGGCUCAAAAGGCAUCUUACAGAUUAUUUCCUCUGCUUCAUCCAAUAGACCCCAGUACCCCAAAACAGCAAUGAAGGAAGCAAAGUGCUCUGAGGUGGGUUCAAUGCCAUAAACAGUUUUCAAGGAGAGAAACAAACUACGACAAUUAUCAACUAAGUUGGAGUUAGUGUGUCUGUAUGCUGAAAUGAUCAAAACAAAGGUAAUCUUGUCAGGUUUUAUGCCAGUCCUCUCCAUCUUUGACCAGAAAGCUAAGGCCUCAUCACCCUGUCUAUGGAGAAGAUAACCAGCAAGCAAACCAUUCCAUGAAACUACGUCAUGAGUGGGCAUCAUAUUGAACAACUUGACACCAUCUUCCAUGUUCCAACACUUAGUGUACAUGCUAAUCGUGGCAUUUCCUACUCCUACAUCAGUUAGGAAACCACGCUUAAAAGCAUGGCAGUGGAUUUGUUUCCCCAGCUCAUGAAAUCCUAUAGUUCCACAAAGACCGAGUAGUGAAGUUGAUGAAACUUCAUCCAUAUCCAUUCUUCCUUCUGACUGAUUAAGGUUGAACAGAGAAAUUGCUUCAUCCAGUUGCCCAUUUCGAGCAUACCCACCUAUAAUUGAUGUCAAAAUUACAGACCUGUCCUGCUCAGCUGGCCACCGAAGAAACAUCUUUUUGGCAUCUGCCAUCCGACCACACCUUGUGCACAUAUCAAGCAGUGCAGCUUCAAUGCAAGCAUUUGACCCAAAACCAAACUUGAUAAGGAACCCAUGAAUUUGCUCACUGGUUUUACAAUCCAUGACCAAGCCACAAGCAUUAACAACGCUAGUCAAUGUGAAGUCCGUCAUCUCCAUACCCUCCUCCAACAUUUUUGUAAAUAAAUCCAAUGCCCUCAAGCCUUCACCAUUUCGACAAAAACCAGCCAACAGAGCAUUAUAAGAAACAGGAUUCCUCUCUGGCAUGUUAUCAAACAUCUCUAUAGCCAAAUCCACCAAACCUACUUCCAUGUAGGCUGUAAUCAUUUCCGUCCACGUAAUAACGUCCCUCACAGGCAUCCUCUCAAACAAAGACUUCACACCAUUUACACUCCCACACGCAGCAUAGAACCUAAUAAGUGCAUUGGUAACACUCAAAUUGGCCUCUAAACCAAUUUUGAUUGCAUAGGCAUGAACCAAUUUGCCUGCUCUAAAAGCACUGCUACCAGUACAGGCAGUCAAAAGGGUUGAAACGGUGAAACGGUCGAUUCCAAACCCUUCAGUUCGCCACAGUUCACGGAACAAUUCAAAUGCUUCAGCAUACCUAAAUUCCUUCACUAAACUUGACAUAACAGUAUUCCAAGAAGCAAUGUCUCUUUCGGGCAAAUGAUCAAACAGUUUAAGCACAUAAUCCAAACAAGAACAUUUACCAUACAAACUCAUAAGCGCAUUCGAAACGAAAACACAAUCUAAGUAUCCCAUUUUGACCGCCAAGGCAUGAACUUGCAAACCCAAAUCCAGCUCCAAAAUCCGAAUACAAGCAGUUAAAACCGCAACAAAGCUAAACUCAUUAGGGUCAAUACCUGAAUUCCUCAUCCCAAAGAAAAGCUCCACAGCUUCGUCUUCUCGACCCGCCUUGGAAAAACCCGAAACCAAAGUGGUGAAAGACACAACAUUUGGGCAGGAAAGGCUUUGAAAAACCCUGUAAGCGUCAGGAACAAGACCCAACUUGAGAUAAGCUGAAAUGAGAGCGUUACCCAGAUGGUUAUCUUCUUCAAAUUUGAGAAUUGAGGCGUGCACGGCCCUGGCGAGCUCGUGGUCGCCGUGACGAGCCGAGAGGCGAAGCAAAUUGAGGAGAUGGUGAAACAAGAAGUGGGUUUGGUCAGAGCCAUUGGGAGGGGUUAAAGGCAAAAGGGGUUUUUGGGUUGGGAGGGAUUGGGAGGGAGGUAAAGCGGUGAAGUUGAGGAGGAGUUGGGGUUUGAGUUUGGGGUUUGAACUUGAAGGAGGUGAGAGAGAGAGAGAAAGAGAAGGGCGUAGUGAGGGUUUAGGGUUGGAGAGAGAGAAGGGGUUUUGAGGAAAAGAAGAAGAGGGAGGAGGAGGCAGAGGAGGUAAGGCGGCGAUGGUGGGUUGGAUAAUGGUGUUCAUUUGUUGUACCCAAGGUGGGCGCCAACAACAACCAGAACCAUAACAAAAUCAUAAAAAAAACCUGUUGUAACUUCUGGUUUGUACACUGUGUUGCAGCAGUUCGAUGGUUAGGCAUACUAGAUUGUGUAUGUUUAUUUUUUAUUUUUAUUUUUUUCUAUUGAUAAAAUUAUAUCACAUUUUUGUCCCAAAAAAAAAAAUUCCUUAAUAAAAAAAUGAAAAUUAAACUAGAUGUUACUAGCUUGGAGUUGAGGAUUAGUAGAAACAAAAUAUGGUUUAAGUUUAAUGGAAUUAGAUCGGGUAUAAAACGACGUCAUUUUAUACCAGAUCUUAAAAAAAGAAAAAAGAAAAAAAGGGGAAACCUUCCAUUUCGUGGGCUUUAAAUAGGGCCUCCAUAAUUCCUUAUUUAAAUGAGAUUGAGAGAGUUCUCUUUGGCUUUACCCAUUGCAACUGCUUUGGUUGAGAGAACUUUUUCAGUUAUGAAUAUUAUGAAACACCAUUUCCUAACAAAAUAGGGAAUCAAUGGUUGGGUGAUAGCUUGGUUGUUUACAUUGAGAAAAAUAUUUUUUCUUGUAUUAGUAAUGAAAAUAUAAUGCGCAUUUUCAUAAUAUGAAACAUCGUCGGCAACAAUUGUAGGUUAAUUGUAAUGUUAUUUUUUUCAAUUAAUUAUGAAUGAUAUUAAUAUUGUUUAAAUUAUAAGGAUAUUUAGUUGUCUAACUUUUUUGUUGAGUUUUUAGCAUUUAAAUAUUGCACUUCCGUUGAAAAAUUCAUGAGUCCGCCAAUAAUCAGUGCCCCAUGGAAAAAUAAGGGUUGUAAUUAAGGAUUGAAUAGGUAUGAUUAUGUCAAGCCAAAGUUUGGACUCCAAGUUUGCUGGAUAAUAGUAGUUAAUCUUACAAUGAAGAUAAUGUAUUGGAAUAAAACAAAACCUUAACAAUUCCUUAAAAUAAAAAUAAAAACCUUAACAAAAUAGGUGGGAUUUACGCGUGUUUUGGUGCGGGUGGGGAAAAAAUGAAUGUGCAUUAAAAAAAGAAAAAAGAAAAAUUUAAAAACACACAAUAACGACAUGGGAAAAGCCCGGAGCCAAGGAAAACGGUCAUGAAAGAUCGUCGUUGACGAGAAGCGAAUGAGAUUGAAGAAAACCAUCGACUGUACGAUCGCCGAGUUCCAACUUCCAUGGACGAACGUCGCAAACAUCAGGUACUGUAAAUUCAACAGCACAAUCAAUUUAUGCUUCAGCAAUCUCCCUCAUGAAAAUUGUUAUUGCGUUUCCAAUAACUUGUGCUCAAAAAUUGAUUUUAAUGGCGAUCGGUUUGCUCAGGUGUCGUUAAGAGGAGCGAGCGCGAAGGAGAUUACCAGAGACGCUUUGCUUGAGAGGGUCUCUCAGGAAAGAGAGCUUCGUCAAUAUGCCAGACGAGCCUCAUCAGCUGCGGUCUUCAUUCAGGUGUUUGCCUUUUCUUUUCUUAAAAGCGAAAAAAUUCCUAAUUUCUGCAUUGGUUUGUUAAAUUUUGGCCAAAUUAAACAAAUUUUGAUGUGGGAAAGAAGUAAAACAGCAAAAAAGCAAGUGGAUUUUCGAUUUUGUACUGGAAGACAUAAGGGAGUGUAUUUUUAUUUUUAUUUUUAUGUGUUCAGAGAGUGUGGAGGCGCUACAGGGUGACAAAGAUGGUGGCUUCGGAGCUUCGAGAAGAAUGGGAGAAUGUGAUGAACCAAUAUGCUGAGUUAGCUAUCACUGCAACAUGGCUUUCCAGCAAUAUAGUGAGGCCUUUUCUUUUCUUUAUUACUUGUUUAUCGACUCGGCACAGGAACAUCCAGCCCAGAGAAAUUUACUCUACGAUGAAUUUCUUUCAAAUUAUGCUGGAAACCGUGACUUCCACUGGUAUGCUUCUAUUUAUUUAUUUAAAUAGUUUCCUCGGUUUGUUUUAGCAGUUGGGUUGAUUUCAUUUUUCAUGUAUAGACUCAAUGAAAAACUAUUGCUCCCUGGCAAUCGGCACUGUUGAGGAGAGAAGAGUCUGGAGUUAUCAGUCACGGAGGAUGAUUUCUCUCUGCAUGUUUAUUCUUUCGGAGUGUGACAAUUCCCGUGCAGGGGGUCAAGAUAUUGUUGCUCUCACCUCCCUAGCAAUGCGUUUUGUUGUUGUCUUAACUGAUCUUAAAGGGUGGAAGAGCGUUACUGAGCAUGACUGUCAGAGUGCAGAUACAGCAGUGAAGGAUUUAGUUUGGUUUAUGGGAAGUAGCGAAAGUGGUCUUUACUUAUCUAUCAGAAGAUACAUUAGCACAUUAGAUGCUCCUUGCUCUUCACGGAUAAGCAGUAGUAGCGUACAAAGAGAUGAUAGAUUUUUGAUUACUGCAAGUACAAUAACUUUAGCUCUUAGGCCAUUUCAUGUGGCAAAGUUUGAUUUAGACGGUCCUGGCUUGCUGGAUAUCCAUUAUGUUACCGAGAAUUACUUUGUUUUUCUACUUACAGUUCCUUGCCUUACUCAACGUCUUCCAGCUCUUCUUCUAUCUGCUAUGAGGCACAAGUCCAUUCUCUCACCCUGUUUUCAGACAUUACUGGUAAGGCUCAUUAAAUUUGAACUAAAUCUUUGCAAGUCCUUUUUGGUAAAGUAUUUCCUUUAAUGUACUCAUUAGUUACGUCUUAAGUAGAUUUAUAAGUAGUUAUGAAAAUCCUUCUUUUGGAUAUGAUGAGUCAACCGGUGAGGGGAACUUUCUUUUACGAUCUAUAACUAGUGUGCAACUGCUGCAUACUUCCAAGCUUAACCUGGCAUUUCAAAAUGAAAUAUUUGGUAUUUCUUUGCCAUUGAACAGGGAUCCUAUUUCAACUAAUACAUUGACUCGAUGUCUCGGUAUAGUGUGACUGGACCAGUUUAGAGCAAAAACUAAGCUUAUUAAGAUUUUGGACACACUGUUAUCUCUUCUUACAUAGAUGAAUGCAAAUAUAUUUUACAGGAAAAUGGUUGUGUGAGUUUAUUAAUGGUUUAAUAAUACUCUUUUGACAUUUAUUUGUAGAUGAAUAUAAUAUAUUGUGGAUGUACCUUCUAGUUUCAAGUUACAAUGAUCCAUAACAUUCUCCAUUAAUUUGACACCAUGUUUUUCCUUCUAUUUUGACAUUUUCUACUUUAGGUUGUAUUAGUUUUGUGGGAUGGUUUUGUUUUAUGUUAAUUCUUCAUAAAUUCCAUCUAUCUAUCGUUCUAUGGUAUGAUUAUUUAUUUUAUUUAUAAAUUCCAUCAUCAUAUGUCAGGGCAUAAUCACAUCUAAUUCAUUAAAUCCCAGUUUCUUUUCAAAAUAUAAUUUCUUAGCCCUGUGAUUCAAACAUGUGGGGACUGAUCAAACUUUCGCAGGUGAUGGCAGAUUUUGAAAGAGAAAAUAUUAAAGGAAAUGUUAGAUGUGGAUCAAUCAAAGAUGGAUUUUCUUCCCAAGGUGAUUCCCCCAGCAGGUUGGGCUCUUGCAAACAUUAUAUGCCUAGCAACAGGGGCAGAGAAUGAUUCUGUUGAUCCUGGAGGGUUCCAUCAAGAUUUGGACUCUGUAUCAUAUGUCCGUGCUGUUAACAUUCUUGCAGAAAACUUGUUGUCUAGGCUUGAGAAUGUUGACUGUGUCAAGGAGAACCAGAAUCUCCAAGGUGAAGUUGAAACCCAUGAGAAGCCCACCCAUGCAGCUUUAUGUGAGGGUGAGAUGGGGUCCUUUAAAAUGUCGUACUUGGAUAUGUUUAGACCUAUUUCCCAGCAGUGGCAUCUUACAGAUCUUUUGGCUAUAAUGGAUAAAGUUGGUCAUAUUCAAGGGUCUGAGACACAACAAAACCUGGAACAUUCAAGGAAGUUGGAGCUGCUAGAUAUUGUGCAUUUAUAUUCGUACAUGCUCAGAAUAUUUUCAUUAUUGAACCCCACAGUUGGAUCGUUGCCAGUCCUUAACAUGCUAUCUUUUACUCCUGGGUUUCUUGUGAAUCUAUGGAGAGCAUUGGAAACAAACCUUUUUCCCAGGGAUUGUCACACUGAUCCAGACAAUUAUGACUGUAUUAGUAAAAUUUCAGUCAAUGACAAAAAAGUUGGGGCUUUUGAGAAAAAACAAAAACACGCCAAUAAUGAUGGAGUUAAUAAGUGGGUCACUGUUCUGCAUAAAAUUACUGGCAAGUCGCAAGGCAAUGAUUAUACAAAUUUGAGUGAUAAUCAACCUAAGCCUAGACCUGUUGACGAGGAUUCUUCUGAUGUUUGGGAUAUAGAACCUGUAAAGCAUGGCCCUCAAGGUAUCUCUAGAGAUAUCUCAUGUAUGCUUCAUCUUUUCUGUGCAAGCUAUUCACACCUACUUUUGAUUCUUGAUGACAUAGAAUUCUACGAAAAACAGGUAACAGGUUAUAUAUAUAUAUAUAUGCAUGAUUUUCUUAUUUUUCAGUGAUUGUUCUGAUUAUUCAAAUCUUAUCAUUCGAGCAUUUUAUGCAUGAAUAGGUGCCAUUCACACUGGAGCAACAACGGAAAAUUACAUCUGUCCUCAAUACAUUAGUUUAUAAUGGUUUUUCUCAAAGUAUUGGACAGCAGGAUAGACCCCUUAUGGAAUCUGCAAUCAGAUGCUUGCACUUAAUGUAUGAAAGGGAUUGCAGGCACCAGUUCUGCCCCUCUGUUUUGUGGCUUUCACCUGCUAGAAAAAACCGCCCACCAAUCGCGGUAGCUGCCAGAACUCAUGAAGUUCUCUCAGCUAAUGUAAGAUCAGAUGAUGCUGCGCCUGUUCCAAGUGUAGGUUCUGUUAUAACUACAACCCCGCAUGUAUUUCCAUUUGAAGAAAGGUAAGAAAAUAAUCAAAUAACGGAAAACUCAAUAAUUUCAUAGUUCAAUUAUUUUUUCCCUGUAUUUUUGGCCCAGUUUGUUUAUUUCCUCAACUUUUGAGAUCCCCCUUUUUUUUGGAUAUAUGAAACCCAUUUUGUGGCCUUUGGAUGACCUGUUAUUGGCUUCCAGUGAAAAUUGUUGACCUUGUGACAUACGCCUUGAGGUUGCACAGGUGCGUGCACCUGAAUGUUUGGUUAGUAUAUGUUUCCAAGUGAGAGUGCAGAAGUUCUUCUAUGUAAUAUGCAUUACAUGGCUUCUCUGGCUUGUGAGGUUUGAGUGAGCACUGGUAGGUGGGUGGGUUGGUGGGGCAGUAGGGAUUGACAAUUUGUGGGUUGAUUAUUUUUGCGUCUUCAUUGCCUAUACUAUUCUUCACCGCGUAGUUUUCUAACUCUUUACCUUUGACAGUAUGGAAUCAUGGCUAGAUUCUUCACUACUGACUCUUUUGAGUUUUAACUUUGACAUAAUUUUGUUUCUAAAAAUCUUUAAGACCUCUACAGUAAAUUAUUCUUCCUGACAUAAUUUAGUAUCAUGGCAGAGUUGAGAUGUUUAGAGAGUUUAUCAAGAUGGAUAAAGCCUCCCGAAAAAUGGCUGGUGAAGUCGCUGGACCUGGUUCUCGAUCAGUUGAGAUAGUAGUUCAUCGUGGUCAUAUUGUUGAAGAUGGAUUUCGGCAAUUAAAUUCUCUAGGGUCAAGGUUAAAGUCAUCCAUCCAUGUUUCAUUUGUCAGUGAAUGUGGCCUUCCCGAGGCUGGCCUGGACUAUGGUGGAUUAUCUAAAGAGUUUUUGACUGAUAUAUCAAAAGCAGCCUUUGCUCCCGAGUAAGUUUGAGAUUUUAUAUAGAUAUGUAUAUGUUACAUUUUGCUUCCUUGCAUUGUUAUUGGAUUCUUUAGAAGUCAGUUUUCUGAGCUCAUUUUUUCUGCUGAUCAGGUAUGGGCUAUUCUCCCAAACCUCAACCUCAGACAGACUUCUGAUCCCUAAUUCAUCUGCAAGAUAUCUGGAGAAUGGUAUCCAGAUGAUUGAGUUCCUUGGAAGAGUUGUUGGCAAAGCUCUUUAUGAAGGAAUUUUGCUAGAUUACUCCUUUUCACAUGUUUUUAUACAAAAGCUGUUAGGUCGAUAUAGCUUUCUUGAUGAACUAUCAACACUUGAUCCAGAGCUUUACAGGAAUCUCAUGUAUGUCAAGGUAAACCUUGGAUUUGUUUGUCUGUCUGGGUCCUUCCAUUCUCAUUAAAUCCUUUCUGAAGCAUUGAUCAUUAGUUUGAUAAUCAUGUAACCAUAUUAGUGCACUAAGUGUUAGGAUACAAUAACAAAACUGUUGAAGAUUUAUUAUAGAUGUUUAAGAGAUAAAACUGAUGUGCCUUGCUCCUUAAAGGGCUAUAUUAAAUUACUUGGCCAAAAAAACGAAGGCUGUAUGACAUCAGGAUCGCAUAUUGUAAACUUGAUAGGGUCUAUGUGGUUGCAUCUCAACCCAAACUAUUUGAAUUAAGGUGUUAUUGGUUGCUUUGUCUGUACAGUUUGAGAUAAAGCACCCUUGAUUGGUUCAUGUCGAGCUUUAAGUGUCUUGAAGUCUCCAUUCUGGAUCAAGUUUGUCAUACAUGUACUGAUAUGCUUUGUCAUGCAUUUUGUUUCUUUAAAGAUUUCGAUCUUUUACUUGUGUGGUUAUUGCAGCACUAUGAGGGUGAUGUCGAGGAACUCUGUCUGGAUUUUACUGUAACUGAAGAAUCAUUUGGAAAAAGGCAAGUUAUUGAGCUUAAGCCUGAUGGGAAAGAUGUUACUGUGAUAAACAAGAACAAGAUGCAGUACAUUCAUGCAAUAGCUGAUUAUAAGCUUAACCGACAGGUUUAUAUUUCAUUCCUGUUCAAUUAAUGUUUUGAAGAUUAGAGUUAUUAUUACUCCUAUUGGUGAGAAGAAUUACCUUGUUUUCAAUGUUGAAUUGCAGAUAUUUCCCUUUUCAAAUGCGUUCUAUAGAGGGUUAACUGAUCUCAUCUCACCAUCUUGGCUAAAAUUAUUUAAUGCAGGUGAAUUUAAUCAGGUAAGGCCCUCUAUACAUGGAUUUGUUUAUUGUUCUAGUGAAUAUGACUGUAUGACUGCUGGGUGCAUUCUCUUUGGAUGGAUUCAUAUAAGAUAUGAUUCUCUUGUAAACUAAUCUGCCCUUUAAUCUUAUGCUUAAUAUAUUAAUCAUCUUAAACUUGUAAGUUAAGACCUAGUCCCUUUUCUCUUGAUUCCAAAAGUUUGAAGAAAAAAAAAUGGAGCAUCAUCUUUAUAGGUCUUACUUUCAUUCCAUCUUUGGUUUAGGUAGUUGGCUGAUAAGGUGACAUUUGGAAAUAGGGUUAAUCGUUUUAUUAGUCCCCUAAUUUUGACUGGAUUUGCAUUUGAGUACCUCAAUUUCCAAAAUGGUACUCGUGGUCCUUUAACUUGAGUUUCGUUUGGACAACUAGUCCCACCGUUACUUCUGUCAAUUUUUUCGUUAAAGUUAAGGGUAGAUGGGUCUUUUAGGUUGGUUUUAUUAUCCCCCUUCUACAACUUGCCUUCCCUCUGAAAUAGACCUUAGAGAGCCUGCCGCCAAAAACCUAAAGAACCAAAAAUUGCAAUCCGCUUCUGCAACUCACAUAUUGGUUGAGUAAAAGUUGGAAUCGUCAAGAUUGGAAGCUUGGAGAGCAGAUUACUUGCCUGCUUCGACGCCUUUCCUGGCCUAGCCGCCGACCCGUCCGCCACUCCGACGGUCUGGGCAUCAUGGCAAAUGAAGUGAGUGUCUUCGCCCAGGGGUUUUUCCUGGUUCUCUUUGAAACUGAAAGUUAGAAGACCAUAAGCACCAUAACCACCAUGGCUGUAGGUUGUAGGCUCUAGUGGUGGUUCCAGUGUUCCUUUCAAUUGAUAACUUUUUGUAUUGUUCUAGGUUAGUAGGAGAAGCCAACACACAUGCGACAACAAUUUCUUAUAAUGAAUUAUGGAUUUAGAGGCACUUUUAUUCCAAACCAGUAAUGGUAAUAUGUGGAAAGGUAAUAUGGGGUCUGUGUUUGCUUCUUUAAUGGGCUAAUCAGGUGACUAAAACCGUUGAACAAAUGCUUAAAAACAUUUCCCCAUAAUGGUAAUUCCCCGUAAGAAACACCCACGCACAUACUCCUCUCUCUGUCUUUCUAUUUUGCUGCGUUUGGUUUGAAAUGUUGAGGCUUGAACUGGUUUUGUGAAGUUGUUGCAGUGUUGGAUCUGGUUCUUUUAACCAGGCCUCAAAUGGGUUUGUGAGUUUUCUUAAAUUUGGAGUUUGAAGGUUUCCUGCUAAAUUUUCAAUUUUUAGUGUUGGCUCUGUUUUUAUGUGCUUAUACCUGAAAUGGGUUUUUGAGCAUUUCAAUGCUGAGAUCUAAUUUCUGCAGAUUUACUGGACACAGUGAGGUUCAAGAUUUUGUGAGUUGGAUUUGAUAACCUACUUUUGUACUUCAUAACAGUUCAGUUGAGACUGAGAGGUUAAAGCAAAAAUGGCUCCAAGCUUGGAUUUUUCCAGGUGGUGGGCAAAGGGCAAUACAAGUAAGGGUAAUCCAGUGGUGGUGACCAUGGAGAACUCCAAUUACUCUGUGCUGGAGAUGAAAGUCUUUUUUGUCCCUCAAAACCAACCUGAAAAGACCCAUCUACCCCUAAAUUUACCAAAAAAAUUGACAGAAGUAACGGUGGGACUAGUUGUCCAAGCGAAACUAAAGUUAAAGGACCGCGGGUACCAUUUUGGAAAUUGAGGUACUCAAAUGCAAAUCUGGUCAAAGUUGGGGGACUAAUAAAACGAUUAACCCUUUGGAAAUAAUACCAUUUAAAAACAGUAGCAAAAUUAUUCCUCUAAUAGGGAGAAAUUGCAGCGGAAAAAAAAAAACUUUGAAAUUCGAAUGAUGAGACCGGGAGAGUUAAAAUAUAAGUGUCGCCUUAACUAAAUGAUCCUUUUUAGAGCUAUCUAUCUUAAGUUUUUCUUCUUGUGAAAUAAUCUGACGCAGCACAAGAAACAAAGGUUUCAAGCGAAACCGUGAGUAACAAUAAAAACUGGAUUCCACCAGAAAAUUAAGAGAAGCUCUCUUGGAAUAAUGUUAUUAAAAACUGAGUUACUAGAAAUGUUAGACAAACCUGUCUAAAUACUCAAUUCAACCCUCAACCCUUCAACUGCUAGGGGAGUUAUUACAUAAAACUGAAAAAACAGGAUUAAUUUGGAGUCUUAAUAACGUAACUCCUAAACUGUCCAAAACAGAAUUUAUUGGAAAAUUGACUACCAAACUUUAACUGCAGUUUUGGAAGGCCAAACGACCUCAGAAUGCCAAAAUCCAUCAUAUGUCACGGCAAAGCGGUGAGUUACACUCGUGGCGUCGUUCCCUUUCCGAAAUGGUAUUUUGCGUCCUAAUCAGAGCUUGGACGACAAAACUGCAUAUUCCCACUACGUCCUUUUUCUAGCUCAACCGCGAUAAAAUCUGCCAUCUGUUCUACAUCAUAAUCAUAAUUCAUGUCUUGAUUUUUUCCCCUUGAAAUAUUUUAAUAAUAACAAUGUACUUGGUCAUGAUGGGCCAGUAUUAUGAUUCAUCAAGUCCUCCAAAUACUUUUCCUUUAAGAGUGCUGACUUUGAUGCACAUGAAUUCAGUUAGUUGUCAAAUACUGAUCUAUAACUACCAUAUACAGUUGCUUUCAGGUGGAAACCAUGACAUUGAUGUUGAUGAUUUAAGAAAGAAUACAAGGUACACUGGCGGUUACUCUGAUGGGAACCGGACGAUUAAAAUCUUUUGGGAGGUAUUGACUAUUCUAUGGUGGUUGAAUGAGCUUAUGUUUUGUAUAAUUAGGUGUUCCUAAUUUUAAUUUCUCCAAGAUGGUUCUCGUAAAAUACUGACCUGUUCCUUUUUCAAUGAUUUGAUUUGGAUUCUGUAUUUCCUGCCUAUUUUCUGUUAAACAUCCCAGACCAAAUAUGCUCAUAUAAAAGUAUUCUGCUCUCUCUCUCUCUCUCUCUCUCUAGAAAAUCUCAGUGCUGAUUCAUGUCUGACUUUCACCAGAAGAGGAACAGCCAACUUUCAUCAUUUUCUGAUUUUUCAAUUUAUUCUGUAUCAUGUGGCAUAUUUAAUUUUGGUAUUUCGUUUGUAUCUUGUCUUAUAGAUGCGCAUUUUGAUUUAGGAUACCUAUGAUCUUUUUAAAUUUUAUUGAGUUUCUUCCAACCAUUAUCACAGGUACUCAAAGGAUUUGAACCUAGUGAACGUUGUAUGCUUCUAAAAUUCGUAACCAGUUGUUCUCGAGCUCCAUUACUUGGAUUUAAACAUUUGCAACCGAUGUUUACAAUCCAUAAGGUAUGUAAUUGAUCUUACAACUACGUGUAUGUAUCUAGUAUGCAAUUACUCAGGAAUUUGGUCUUAUAUAGGUUGCAUGCGAUAUCCCUCUUUGGGCAGCAAUGAAAGGAGAGGAUGUUGAGCGGCUUCCAUCAGCGUCAACUUGCUAUAAUACUCUGAAGGUACAAUAAAUGGAAAAUGCCCUCCUACCCCUUUCUAAUUUUUCAAUAACAUUGCAAUAGUAGAGUUCAGAACAGAUACCAGACUAUCAAUUACAUCUGCUGCUACUGAUGCUCAUUUUAAUUUUUUCGGUUUGAAACCGCACUUAUGAUUUCAUUCUCUGUGAUGUUUGCAGCUUCCAACUUACAAACGUCCGAGCACUUUGAGAGCAAAACUUCUAUAUGCAAUCAGUUCCAAUGCAGGAUUUGAACUUUCUUAAGGAUCCCCUUCAGGUUAUGCAUUUUACUUGUCUUACUGAACCCUUAAUGUUAAUUCUAUUUUGUAACAGUAUUUCUCACCUGCUACAUACUGAAAGCAAGAUGGAUUUUGAGCGUCCUUGAUUGCAUGGAUUUUUAAACAAUAAAAUUAUUACAGAUGAGCUAUUAUAGAAAGGGUUAAACCAAGAUACUUUAUAUCAUCCACUAAGAUGGUAAUUUCCACCUAUAGUUUGACAUAUUAGAUUUUUUUAUCUUUUCAUGUAUAAAAAAUAUUUGGCAAAUCAUUAAGAAAGCAUAUUCAAUAACUUCAGGCUUGUGCGUGCAAUAUUAAUUUUACUAACUUGGACCAGUUUAGAGAACUGGGCCAUGAUCUUACUUAAAUGAUCUCAUAACACAAAGGAUUGAAACACGUAUAGCUUAGGAGACUUCAGACUAUGAGGAAACUAAAUUCUGGAACUAAACCACUAAAUACCUAUUUUUUAUAUCAUAAUAUUUAUAAGAUAAAGAGAGUGCAGUAGUCUUAGCUUAUGCCACUGGGGAUAUAGAUUCAAGAUAUGAGGUCAAAACCCUGCUGAAGUAUAUUGCCAGCCAAGACCUCGUUGGCAGCUUCAGAGGGAUGGAAGCCAUCCCAAAACACAUAACCAGUUGCAUUGGUACAUGUUCCUACAGACCUAGAGUUGCAAAGCUUAGAGGUUUCCAAUCUACCUGUUCCACAACAAGCUCUUCUCGACUCAAAGAACCCUGUCAGAUAUUGGAAUUUGGUUAUCAAGCAAUAAACGUAAUAAUCAAUCCCAUACAUAUUCGAACUAUCUAAUCUAAACUAACACAACAAACGCCAAACAAAAGCAAUAGAGAGAAUCUUUCUAUUGAUGCUAAAAACAACUGUUUUUUCGUAACUAGUAUGGUGGUUCUUCUUGUUGCCCUUUUUUGUUUUUGUGUUUUUCACAUUGAUCAACUAUUGAACAGAGGUGCUUUACCAUUAUCACCAGGGUUUGUGAUCAUAUCCAGGACAGGCUGGAAGAUAUCAAACACUACAAGCUUGAGACCAGGGAGUCUGCUCUUCAAAAUUUGAGAUGUGUUGUUUAGCUUAUUGUUGAAUGAAAUGGCAUCUUGGUUUAACCUUGGGAUGCACUGGUUUCUUCCUAAGCCAAAUAGGGUGAUUGCUGCUGGCAAACACCCAGUUGGUGGUAAGCUUAUGACUCCAAUCCUUCGCACUCCCAGUCCAUACAAGUUCUGCCACAGUAAUGCUUAUGUCAUGAGAGUGUAUAUGAAGAAACAGAUGCAGAAUGAUGUCCAAUUACUUUGCUGUAUCAAACAUGAUUGAAUUUUCUAUUUAAAUUCAAGGUCACCAUUACGACACCUUUUCCCCCAUAUCGCACCCUUACUGAAGCUUUCAAUUUAACUUCACCAUAGGUAGCUGCGAAUCGUCAUGCAAUCUAGAACUAUAUGAUCACUGUACAUUUAUUUGGGUUCAGGUUUGUGUUAUGCGCAAUUGCAAUUUCUAGUUUUAGGUUUAGGUUUGGCUUUCGUCAGCAAACAUCAAUCAGCUAUGAGAUUAUUUCUUACUUUUUGGGUCGUGUGUGUGUGGUGCUGUAUAUAAAAAGUUAAGAUAAGGGGAAAACAUGCAGCAUGCAUAAUCUGAGUUUGGAGUGACCUGAAUGAAAGUGGAGUAGGAUAUCAUGAGAAUGUCUGAGAAUUGGUCAGGUGAGUAGACUCUAAGAAGGGGAUUGAUGUAAUAGUUUUGAAUGAAAUCACUGGUCCCUGCACUUAGAAGGUGAAUGGCUCCAGAGAAUAUGUCAUUGGCUUUAGCUCUUCCCACCAUACUCACCACUUCAUUUUGAUAUUCCCUGUAGUUAUUCAGCUGCCGGGUCAGCGAAAUGGCACCCUACAAAACCAAAGAUGGAUCAUAUCAUAUCAUUCAUUAUACAUCAUGCAAAGUGCCGUGUCUGGAACAAAUAGUUUCCUUUGCUAUCAGACAUGAUUUUUUGAAAGCUGUCCCUUAUAUGAUCCUUUGCUAUAUAUAUAAUUUUUAUUAUUAUUGCAGUACAUCUAUAAUCAGAGAAAUCAUCAAUGCAAGGAAAUUAUGACCCACCACUAACAUUUUUCAGUGAAGCAUUCAUGAGGUCAUCCUCUUUGUCAUCAUAGGUGAGGCACUGAGAUAUUGUAGCAAAUUCUAACAUGGGUUAUUCUAUAGGCCCUGAGAUGAGGCCUUAUCGCUUAACCAUUAGAUCAAACUAACAAAUUUAAUUCAAUGGCAUAGCUAAGAGAUAGAGCCUCGUCUAAGGGCCUUGAAUAUAAGGCCUUACUAUAAAAUUCUACCAUAUAUAUAUAUAUAUAUAUGUACGAUACAUUGUAGCAAAUUUACUUGAAAGCAGUUUAUGAUUUUAUGAGGAAUGGCCAGUCAGUUGAGUAAAUGGACCUUGUGAUGGCCCGCCUCAAAGGCCAGCACUUUACACACUUAGACUAAAUUGUUACUUUCUUUAUUCCUCCUGCCUAAUUGAUAGUUCAUCACUGAGGCCUAUUUUCAUAGACAGUUCAUCUGGGGUUUCUGUUAUUAUUAUUAUUUGUUAAUUUAGCGCUUAGUGUGUGUUUUUUGAAAGCGUUUAGCCGCGCGGCUAUAUUCUAUAAAUAGAAUAUUACAAUAGUAUAGCCGCGUGGCUAUUCUCAUUGAAUAGCAUAACCUGAAUUUAUCUUUUUUAAUUACUUUAAUUAGUAGUUAUGUUUUAAUUAUUACUUAGUGAAUAAUUAGUAUUUCAAUAUUUUAAUAUAUUUUAUUUUGAUUCAGUAAUAUGUGAGUAUUUUGUGAAUAAUAUGUGAAUUUUGCAUGUAUAAUUUUGUAAAAAAUAAGUGUAUUAAACAAUAAAGACUCGGGUAAUGGCCUAAUAGUAAUGGAUAAUGCUCUAAACUACUCUUAUUGAUAAACAAAAAUCGGGAAAAAAAUAAUUAUAAAAAAUAUAUAUCACAGUAUCUAUGUAAAGAGCAUAGCCAUUUAUUUAAAAAAAAAUUUAAAUAAACUACCACAAUACAGCCGCACGGCUAUACAUGUUUUUAUAAAUAAAAAAUAACGUAUAGCCGCGCGGCUAUACAAUUUAUUUAUUUUUUUAAAAGGGCCCGCGUAGCGCUGAGCGCGUGUUUUGGUGGAAAGAGUAUAGCCGUGCGGCUAUACUCUAUAAAAAAGAAUAUUACAAACGUCUAGCCAGCACGGCUAUAUCCAUUGAAUAGCAUCGUCUAAAUUUAUUUUUUUAAUUACUUUAAUUAAUAGUUAUGUUUUAAUUAUUAUUUACUUAGUGAAUAAUUAGUAUUUAAAUAUUUUAAUUCAAUAAUUCCUCCGACUGACACCCCGCCGAUCCAGCCCAAACCCAUCGCCACCGCCGCUCUCCUCUCCAACACAACCAAACUUCACCUCGCCCAGAUUACUGCGAGUUGAGUCGCUCGAGUUGCCGCUUUCAUUUUCAACUUACCCAACUUCAGCAGAGAUGAAAAUUCGGCAGCAAAUAUUACCAAAAAGAAAAAAAAAGAAAGAAGGGCAGCAACAUCUCCUUUCAAGAUGCCAAGAUGGACAAUUCAAAAUGCAAAUUUCAAAACAAAUGUCCGGUAUUAUCAAACCAAUUAGCACGAAUUUGAAAUUUUAGUCAAAUUAAAAGGCUCGAAUUCAAAUUUCAGAUACAUAUCAAGACACCCAUGGAUCUGGUGAAGGGGGAGAUCCAGUGUUGGGAUGUGUUAGAUAGGAGAGAGAGAGAGAGAGAGAGAGAGAGAGAGAAAGAGAGAGAGAGGGGCUGGGGCUGUGCUUUUUCGAGGGAAGAGAGAGAGGAGCGGGGUUUGAGACAGAGAGCACACCCAACCCACAUGUGAGACAGAGAGAAAGAGAGAGGUGCUGCAGGGAUGGGUGUGGAGUGUCAAGGCUCAGAGGAUGGGAGUGGCGCUGGCUUUUGUGAUUUACUCUGUUUUUUUUCUUCUUCUUCUUCAAUUCUCUGGUUGUUCGUUCAUGUUUUUUUUUUUUUUUUUUUCCGUAUCUCUCUCUCAAAUCUGUGCGAUUUGGGGAGUUCAAUUUUUCUUACCUUCUUUUAAUAUUCUUUUAUUAAAAUUUGUUUAUUGUUUAAGUUUUUAAAUACUUUUAAAUAUUUUAUUAAUAUAUUAUUGAAUGUGUGGCCCAAUGUGUAAAGAGUCUAGCCGGACGGCUAUACUAAAAAGACCUUUAAAAAUGGAAAAAUCCGGUGUAUAGCCACGCGGCUAUACUAUUUAUAAAUAAAUAAAAAGAGAGUAUAGCCGAGCGGCUAUACUAUCUAUAAAUAUUAUAUUUCGGGUUUAGGGUUUGUAGAAUGUUUUAAAGAGUAUAGCCGCACGGCUAUACUCAUUGAAUAUCAUAAUCUAAAUUUCUCUUUUUUAAUUACUUUAAUUAAUAGUUAUGUUUUAAUUAUUAUUUACUUAGUGAAUAAUUAGUAUUUAAAUAUUUUAAUUCAAUAAUAUAUGAGUAUUUUGUGAAUUUUAUGUGUAUUAUUGAAAAGUUUGUAAACAAUAAGUGUAUUAAACAUGAAAAAUACAUAUGUACGCGUACAAUACAAUAUUAAACGUGAAAAUGCUAAAUUCUUUAUAUGGGUAAUAACUCUGGAAAAGUAAAUACUCAAAAAGGAACAAUAGAGAUUUGGGUAAUAGCCUAAUAGUAAUGGAUAAUAAUUUAAACUACUCUUAUUGAUAAACAAGAUUUGGGAAAUAACACUUAGAAAGAAAAGAUUGUAGUAUCUAUGUGAAAAUGAAUUUCAACAAAAGACCCCAGUAAAGCCGGGCGGCCAUACUGUUGUUAUUAAAAAGAAAAUCCGGAGUAUAGCCGCGCGGCUACACUAUUUAAUAUUUAUAUAAAUUUACUAUAAAUAAAAGAGGACCCGCCCAUGAACAGUUUUUUCUCGUUGUGCAGGACGUUCGGAUGGGCCGUCGACCAGCAAAGCGGGCCUGGUUAUGGCCUAAUGGCCAUUAUGAGAAGUAACUUGAAUUCCUCUCCUCAUCAUUAAAAUAAAAUAAAAAAAGCAUUAAAAAGUAUGUUACAAAUCAAUGUUCUAAUAUUGCCUUCAACUAUAUACAUGUAUUUUUGCAACCUAUCCUUUAUAUCUAGAUAAAUCUUUCUCAACUAGAUGGUAAAAUAUCUUAGUUUUAUUCAUUCAGCUGGCUAAGGAUUUUGAAAUCAAAGACUUGGGUAUCCUGAGAUAUUUUCUAGGGAUUGAAGUGGCUCAUUCAAAAUAGGGAAUCUUUGUUUCACAAAGAAAAUAUGUGCUAGAUCUUUUAAUUGAAACAGGGAUGCUAGCUUGCAAGCCUGUGCACACUCCAAUAGAACAAAAUCAUAGAUUAGGUGAACAGACUGAUGAAACCCAUGUUGACAAGGAGAGAUAUUAGAGAUUGGUAGGAAAAUUGAUUUAUUUGGCUUAUACACGACCAUAUAUAGCCUAUGCAGUGAGUGUUGUUAGUCAGUUUAUGCACUUUUUACGAGCCACGAGAAGUUCACAUGCAUGCAGUUGAAAGAAUAUUUAGAUACUUGAAAUCAGCACAUGGUAAGGGUCUUUUAUUUUCCAAACCUGAUCAUUUUAGAGUUGAAGCCUACACAAAUAUAGAUUGGGCUGGUUCUAUAUCGAAGAUCCACUACAUGGUAUUGCACAAUUGUGGGUGGUGACUUAGUGACAUGGCGAAGUAAGAAGUAGUCGGUUGUUGCUACGUCCAGUGCUGAAGCAGAAUUCAGGGCCAAGGACCAUGGUGUGUGUGAAUUACUUUGGUUGAUGAUUUUGCUAAUAGAUUUGAAGAUUGCGUAUAAGGACCUUAUGUUGUGAUAAUAAGGCAGCCAUCACCAUUGUUCAUAACCCAAUUCAACAUGAUAGGACUAAACAUGUUGAGAUUGACAGACACUUUAUUAAGGAGAAAAUGACAGAAGGUGUGAUUUGCACCCCAUAUGUGAGAAGCGAGGAUCAACUUGCUGAUAUUCUAACUAAACUAAGGGAGUCUCCAGCAAAGUCUUUGAGUCUACUCUGCCAAACUGGGAAUCCAAGAUAUCUGUUCUCCAGGUUGAGGGGGAGUGUUAACUGUCUGAAUAUAGUAUAGUUGACCUCGGGUGAUUAGCCUUGCAAUUAGAUGUAAUUAGCUAAUUUCUAGUUGUCGACUUUAGGCUUAAUUACUUUCCCUGUACAUGAUAUCUUGUAUGCUAUUUAUUUUCUCUUUGUAGAGAAGAAUAAUACAGCCAAAUAUUAUAUUCCUUUGUCUCUAGUAAGUUUCUACAGCAAGGACUUCGGGAAAGGAAUGUGAAUUUGACCUACUAAAUGAAAUAGUUGCUUUUCCAAAUAAACAGCGAAAGAGAACAUGAUUUGCUUUGUGCGCGAAGUAACACAUUUUACAAAUCUACCAUCAGAAUUCUUAAUAAUCAUCCAUUUGCCAGCGGAGAUUUACCUUGAGGAUCCCCGUCAUUACAAACACUUGGAUGAAACUGACAGGUACCAACAAUCAGACUUUCACGUUGCUAUGGGGCGAAGCUUGUGUUGCGUUUCCCAUCACGUUUUAAUGAGCAGAGAAGGGAGACACUUUGGGUCAGUUUGAUACUAAUUUAUUAUUAUACAUAUUGAAGGAGAAAGUACGAUAUUUUCAUUGUGGGUGUGUGUUCGUGUAACAUGAGAUUUUUGUUCCUACUGAGUUGUGUUUUCAAUCACCAUUUUAUAGGUUUAAAAACUAUGUUAUUGUGUUUCGUUAUAAUACUGAUGCCAGAAAUGAGUAUAUACUUAACUUAGUAUUAUUUAUAACCCUAGUGAUAAAGGGAUUGCCAUAAAAUGUAGGGGUGUGCAUGGGUUCAAAUCAAUUCGUAUCCGAGCCAAUAUAUAUUGGAUUAUGAAUUUUUUCAAUCCAAUCCGAUCUAAUCCAAUUGAUAUUAGAUUAGAUUGAAUGAUCGGUUUUCAUUAUGAAAAAGGAUAAUAGUGAAAUAUUUAUCGUCAUGUUUAAUAUAAUCAAAUAUUUUACUAUAUGUAAAUGUAUAAUAUAAAUAAAAUGCUAGAGAAAUUUUUUAUAUUCUAUAAUAUACUAAACCUAAUUCCAUCAAAUGACUUAAAUGUGCAUAACUUUCUUAAUCACAAUUACCUACAUUAGCAAAACAAGCAUGAAACUAAUUGAACUGGAUUGGAUUUGAACAAGCAAAUUCAUCAUCCAAUCCAAUCAUGUCGGUAUUGGAAGUAAGAGAUCCAAUCCAAUUUGCCAAAUCAUUGAAAACCAAUUAAAAUUGAAUCGGUCAGUUGCAUCUUGCACACCCCUAAUAAAAUGGUAAAGAAAAUUCUCAAAAUACCACUAUUUGAUAGGAACCACAAAGUAUUGCCAUAAAAUUCGCAUAGUUGACUAACUUAUUUUAUCUCUGGUUGAGUUCUUUCGCAAAAGAAAAAACUUAUUUUUGCCAUCAUUGGGGACAAUUCUCUUGCUUGUACAGCCUCGCCGCAAUAGACGUAAUGGCAUAAUUUAGGCUAUCAGGAAGAGAGUUGUAUUGUACCCAAUAUGAACUGGUUUCAGCCUUUGCAAGGCAUAUGAGCAGCAAUCUCACGUCUUUGUUUUUCACGGUAUUACUCGCACAAAAAUAAAAAUGAAAAGAGAAUAGGAUUGAGCUUAUAGAAAAACAGAACAAUAAUUCUACCGAAAUAGUUUUACCAAAGUCAAAAGAUAAAUAUUAAGGAGAUUUCAAGCUAAAAGAGAAGACAAUGAAAUGCUCAACUUCCUUCCAAUAGUAAAGUCACAUUCUCUUAAUUGCCUUCAAUACUCUUUUUUUCUACUUGCUAAUGAGUCAUGAACACCGCUUUUCUCAUUCAAAA